GGGAAACCAAUGCUGAUGACUUAUUAGGCAUGUUGUUGGAGUCCAACUUUACAGAAAUUGAACAACAUGGUAACCAGGAUUUUGGUAUGACUACACGAGAGGUCAUCGAGGAGUGUAAAUUGUUCUAUUUUGCUGGGCAAGAGACCACCUCUGUAUUGCUUGUAUGGACAAUGAUUUUGUUGAGCAGGCAUCCAGAUUGGCAAGCUCGUGCUAGAGAAGAGGUUUUGCAAGUCUUUGGUGAUGAUGGAACACUAGAAUUGGAUGGAUUAAACCGCUUAAAGAUUGUAAGUUAACAUUUUACCUUCUUUUAUGCAUCCAGAAUCUAAUAUUUGUUAAAUUUUUGUACUACUUCUCACAGACAUAUACACAUAUGUUCUAUGUCGAAUUGGGUUCAAUAUGCUAUUUCAAUGUGGAACUCCUCCUAAUCAUAUAGGUGACAAUGAUUUUUCACGAGGCAUUAAGGCUAUAUCCACCAAUUGAAGCGCUUUGUCGAAUGACUAAAACUAAAACCAAGCUAGGGGAACUAAAUUUACCAGCUGGAGUGAUGCUCUCUAUGCCAAUAAUGUUAGUGCAUCAUGACAAAGAAAUAUGGGGUGAAGAUGCAUCGGAGUUCAAGCCAGAGAGAUUCAGUGAAGGCGUUUCAAAGGCAACAAAGGGCCAAAUGACGUUUUUCCCAUUUGGUGGGGGCCCUAGGAUAUGCAUUGGACAAAACUUCGCGAUGAUAGAAGCCAAGAUGGCUUUGGCUAUGAUUCUACAACGCUUCACAUUUGAAUUAUCUCCUUCUUAUACACAUGCUCCACAGCCUGUUAUAACUACCCAGCCUCAGUAUGGUGCUCCUCUUGUGUUGCACAGAUUGUAAAAAGAGUGAAUAAACCCUCUUAUGCAAAUUAGUUUACACUAGUCACUCUUUCCUCUUUUCUAGCUUGGAACAAAUAACACUAUCUUUAUAUUUGAAAAGUUUUUCAUUUGAAAUAUCUCAUUUUCUGUUAAUGAGAUGAACUUGUACAUAUAAUAUUCCGUUAUGACAUAUUUUUGAGCACAAGUACCAAUAAUUAAGAAUACUUUUGGUAUUUUGUAAUUUUCUUUCCUCAUUUUUCUUAAAUUUUGUGUUCAAUCAAACACUAUCAUGACAAGAAUCACAUGGAGCAGUAAUAUCUUUGUAGAAUCAGUCAAAUCUCUCUUAACGUGUUAAUAUGUUAAAUUUUAAUCUGCCUCACUACUUGAUCACCAGUCUUGAAUGAAUUUGGAAAUACCUUGAGGUUUCUGAUUUGCCAAAUAUAGUAUACAGUGGCUUCCAUUGCAUAUAUAUAUAUAUAUAUGUAUUGCCAACUCUUCUUUAAAUAAAACUGUCUUUUCACUAUUUUUCUUUAUUUUCCUAAAAUAUAUAGAGUAGGGGAAUUAAUUAAUAUUUUCCUUCUACUAGACUUCCUAAAAUAUAUGAGGCUCCUAAAAUAUAUGGUAGGAGAAUUAAUUAAUAUUUUUCUUUCUACUAGACUUCCUAAAAUAUAUGGAACUCCUAAAAUAUAUGAUAGAAGAAUUAAUUAAAUUUUUUUUUUUUUACUGUUCAAUUAAAAAAAUACUCCUAAAAUAAUAUUCUAUUAAGAAAAUACUUCUCUAUAUAUUGAGAUGUACCUUAAAUUAGAGAACAAACCGGUUUGCCUAUUGAGAGAAUAUGAUUGAUGCUCAUCAAACUUGAUUCGAUUGCAUGUCUAAAUUGGUGGAUACUUGAUUUUCUAACUCUCAACUUCUUCACUGUUUUUAUCCGCAUAAUAGAAUUCAAUGUGUGUGUAUAUAUAUACUAGUUUAUGGGUACGCGCUUUGCACGUGUAUCUCAUUUUAAUGAGUUCAAACAUUACACUAAAUAGGAUAUUUGUUUAAAUAAUAAAGAUGAAUAAAUAAUUAAAUUUAAUUUCUUUUGAAUAUGUAAAGAUGGAGAGUUUAUUUAUUAAACCUAACCUUUACCAAAAAUAUUUUUAAAAGUCGAUCGACAUUCAUCUACCAUCUGUAAAUUGCAACAAAAUAAUACAAUCAUAGAGGCAUCAAAAUAAUACAAUUAAAUUUAAUCUUUACAAAAAAAAAUAAUUCUCAAAGUCAUUCGAUACUCAUCUACCACCUGUAAACAAUAACAAAAUAAUACGAUAAUAGAGAUAUCAAAACAAUACAAUUAAAACAACUUUUACACAAGAAAUUAUUCAUAGCCAACCGAUAGUAAACUAUAAAAAAAAUAAUAUAAUAGUGAUCACAAAGCUUCAAUUUUGAUCUAACUAAUUCUUAUCUGAGCAAAAGUUUUGACCCUAAAGAAUGAUUUUGAAUGAAAUUAAAGAAGAUAUAUAUAUAUAUAUAUAUAUACACACACAUAUUAUACUGAUAAAAACAGUGAAGAAGUUGAGGGUUAGAAAAUCAAAUAUCCAUUAAUCUUGACAUAGAAUCGAAUCAAGUUAGAUAAGCAUCAAUCAUAUUCUCCCAAUAAGCAAACCUGUUUGUUCUCUAGUUCAACGUACAUCUCAAUAGUUAUAGAAGUAUUUCCUUAAUAGAGUCCUAUUUUAAGAGUAUUUUUCUAAUUGAACAGUAGAAAGAAAAAUAUUAAUUAAUUNNNNNNNNNNNNNNNNNNNNNNNNNNNNNNNNNNNNNNNNNNNNNNNNNNNNNNNNNNNNNNNNNNNNNNNNNNNNNNNNNNNNNNNNNNNNNNNNNNNNNNNNNNNNNNNNNNNNNNNNNNNNNNNNNNNNNNNNNNNNNNNNNNNNNNNNNNNNNNNNNNNNNNNNNNNNNNNNNNNNNNNNNNNNNNNNNNNNNNNNNAAUAUAAAACAGAGAACAAACUAAAAAGAAUAAUAUUACAAAAAUCAAACAAGGAAGAUAAUUAAGGACCUCUAACCCGAUCAACACAUAAAUACACCCGUAUAAAAACACAGUGGAUUAUUAUAGAAACAGAUAAUUAAUAAUAAUAAACACCUACAUUCAAAAAAAAUUAUUUGAACAAAGAAAUAAAAGGUAUAGAGAUAAACUUUUAAUUUUUUCGUCUACUUCAUUCGGCAACAUGCUUGUUACGUUGAGGCUUUAAUCUGAAUUUUUCAACUGCAAGAAAAACGCGAGAAAAACUAUAAGGGAAAAUUCAUUGUCAAUUGUUCAUUGUGUAUAAUGCAUAUAUAAUCAAUCUCUAAAACUAUUAGAAAAAUAAAAGGCAAAAGAAUGAACAUGGUGAAUGAAAGAAGAGGACUUGAAUCAAAUAAGAAAAAAUAUAAGUAGAAGUUAUGUUUCUUGUAAGAUUGGUUUAAAAUAUUACUUAAAUAAAAUUGUAGAAAUUAUUAUUUUUUUACAUAAGGUAAAAUUUUAAUAAUUUAAAAGUGUUAAAUAUAAUGAAUGUUUACCUAUUAAGGACCUGAAUUAAUUUUAAAAUCAAUUAUAUAAUAAUUAUUUUAUAACAAAAGUUACUUAAAAAAUAAUUUAUACGUUUUAAGUCAUAUUUAAUCUAGAGUUGUUUGCUUAAUUAGAAUCCUAAUUUUGGUAUGUUUUUUUUUGUUGUUGGUAAUACUAAUUGUGGUAUGCUACUAAAGAAGGAAAAAAAGGAAAUUUUGUGUUUGCUUGUCUUGAAAUUUAAUCCCGUUUGUUUUAAUAUUUUUUUCCCUUAAAACCAAUCUACUAUUAUUAGAAGGGAAUCUAAGUAAUUAUAAAUAUUAAUUAAUUAUAGCCGACACCUAACAAAAUUUUCCAUAAAAUUGGGAGUGUUCCCAUAUAUUUGAGGUUUUAAUUUUUUUUUAUAUUUAUUAAAGUCAAUAUUCAAUAUUAAUAAUAAUUAUUUGAGGAAAAAAAUAAAAAGAUGAUUUUAUCUAUUGUGAAGUCUUUUAAUGAAGUGCAAAAAGUUCAAAACACUUUUUUAAGCGUCUUCACACUUUUAAUAUAUUAUAGAUUAUAGAUAUAAAUAUAGAUUAUAUAUAUAUAUAUAUAUAUAUAUAUNNNNNNNNNNNNNNNNNNNNNNNNNNNNNNNNNNNNNNNNNNNNNNNNNNNNNNNNNNNNNNNNNNNNNNNNNNNNNNNNNNNNNNNNNNNNNNNNNNNNNNNNNNNNNNNNNUGUGUGUGUGUAUAUAUAUAUGUGUGUAUAUAUAUAUAUGUAGCUACUUUAUUUUCAUUUCAAAAUCAUUUUUUAGGGUCAAAAUUUUCGUUCAGACAAGAAUUAGUUGGAUCAAAAUCGAAGUUUUGUGAUCCCAAUUAUAUUUUUCUUUUAUAGUUUACAGAUCGUAGAUGAAUGUCAGUCGGCUUUGAAGAAUUUCUUGUGUAAAGGUUAGAUUUAAUUGUAUUGAUUUGAUAUCUUUAUUAUCUUAUUAUUUUAUUUUAAUUUAAAGGUGCUAGAUGCUUGUGGGUCAGCUUUAACAAUAUUUUUUUAGGUAAAGGUUGGGUUUAAUUGUAUUAUCAUAAUAUCUCUAUUCUUGGGCGGAGCUACAUGUAAGUUAGGGGGUUCAUCCAAACCCCAUUCGAUGAAAAAUUAUGCUAUAUAUAUAGUUAAAAUUAUUUUUUAUGUAUAUAUAGUAGAUGUCGAACCUCUUUCGGUUAGAUGGUAUGUUCACUUGUGAAUUGCCUUGCUGAAAAUCUUGGCUCCGCCACUAUCUCUAUUAGUUUGAUAGUUUGUGGUAGUUUACAGUUCGUAGAUGAAUCUUGAUCGGCUUUGAAAAAUUUUUGUGUGUAAAAUUUAAGUUUAAUUAUAUUAUUUUGAUAUUACUUUUAUCGUAUUAUUUUGUUGCAGUUUACAGGUGAUAGAUUAAUGUUGGUCGGCUUUGAGAAAUUUUUUUAUGUAAAGAUUAGGUUUAGUUGUAUUAUUUUGAUAUCUUUAUUUUCAUAUUAUUUUGUUAUUGUUUGCAGGUGAUAGAUGGGUAUCAGACGACUUUGAGAAAAUUUUUGUGUGUAAAGAUUAGAUUUGAUUGUAUUAUUUGAUGUCUCUAUCAUUGUGUUAUUUUGUUGCAAUUUAUUAAUAAAUAAAUUCUCCAUCUUUACAUACUCAAAAGAUAUUAAAUUUAAUUAUUAUAUUCAUCUUUAUUAUUUAAACAAAUAUCCUAUUUAGUGUAAUAUUUGAGCUCAUUAAAGUGAGGUAUACGCGCAAGGUGCGUUUAGAAAAGUGAUUCGAACUUUUUACCCUUUACUAAAAAGCUUUGUUUUAGACAAAAUUGUCUUUUCACUUUUUUUCUUCAAUUAUUAUAUUAUUAUCUUUAUAAUAUUAAAUAUUGACUAUAAUAAAUAUAUGAUAUGAGAAUAUUCCUAAAUAUAUGGAAAGACUCCUAAAUUUAUGAAAAGUUUUAAUUUGUUGGGUAUGUAUUUUUUAAUGGAAAAUUAGUAAUACUAUUUUUUUAACCAAAACUAUUCUGGCGUGUACAAAGAAGAACCCCAAAAAUUUAAAUUACUACUAAUAUUAAGUAAAAUUUAACUUAAAUAAAACGUUUUCCUUAUAUAAAUCCUAAAAGUCAUAGCCACCAGAUUUAUGAUAGUCCCUUUUUUCCUCUCACGUGUAUCCUUUUUGGGUAUGUUCUCAAAACAAAUAAUUUGGUUUGUAAUUGUUUUAGGUUUAGUUAUUUGAUAUAGGUAAUAAAUUAUAAUAUUUAAUAGUUUAAAAUUAAUUAGAAUUUUACCUUAUAUAAAAAAAGUGAUUUCUAAAAUUCUAUUUAAGUAAUAUUAUGAACUCAAAAGUUACAAGAAACAUACUCCUAUUUCUACGUUUUCUUAUUAUUUUGAUUUUGCUUCAUGUGUAUUCUUGCAUUUAUUAUUAUCACCCUUUAUGUUUUCAUUUAUUUCUUUUAAUUUAUAGCUUUAAAAAUUAUGUAGGAGUUAUACAUAAUCAACAAUUGAUAAUCAAUACACUUCAUUUAAUUUUUCGUGUCUCUCUUUCAAAAGAGAAUUUUUGAUUGAAAAACUGAAAGAAUUUCCCGUCGAAUGAAGUAGCUACAAAAAUAAAAGGUUUAUUUCUUUUUUUUUUUCCAUUUAAUUGUGACUUAGUUUUGAUAAUGUUAUUGAACUAUAUUUUGAUAUAUGAUUCGUUAGUUUUAUAGUUGAAUCCUUGAUUAAACUUAUUAGUUGAGUUUGAAUUAUAAGAUCAACUAAUAAAUUGGAGUAGCUUAUUGUUCUUUAAUCUUUAAUUGGUUGAGUAGCUUAACUCGAAGAACAACCUUAAAACUCUAAGUUAGAGUUAAAUAUAUUUAGGAAUGAUUCAUAGUGCUUUAGCUAAUUUAGCAUUGUAAUGAGACAUUCAUUUUUAAGAUGUUGUAGCAUUAACACUUUUAGGGUGGAGAGAAUAUACACACGUGCAACACAUGUAUACUUGACUAGUAUAUAUAUGUGUGUGUGCGCGCUCGCGUGUGUAGCCAGUCCUCUUGGACAACCAAGAGUGUUAUGUAAAAAGGAUCAAGGAAGAUCCUAGUCGUGAGGAGAAGGGGUAGGAGUAGGUGCUAGAUUUAGGGGCGUAAUCGAAGAAAUGAAAUUCAUUUAUGCCACGACGAUCUAUAUGGAAGGGAAGUUUUGUUGAUGCAUUCCUCUUGAGAAUGAAGAAGAAGAGAGAUCUUAUUUUUAACAGGAAAAUUUGGUCAUAUAGAUCUUCUAUUUUGCCGAAAUUCAUUGAUUGCUCUGUACGAAUUUAUAAUGGAAAAGCUUCUGUUUGUUGUAAGAUUAUUGAAGGAAAGGUUUUUCAUUAAUGUGGAGAGUUUGCUUUUACGUGGAAAAGAAGACCUUCAAGAACAAAUAUUGGACCGGGAAGAAAAAAGGCAUUAUUCAUAUACUCUCCUCCUUUAAUUUGUUUGACCUAUUUUCCUUUUUAAUUUAUUUUUAAAAAAUAUUUGACAUGUUUAGGAGCACAAGAUCAAAGGACAUUUUGGUACGUUUGACAUAUCUUUGAUUUAAGACUAUAAGAAGACAUUUGGUGUGAGGUAUAAGGUAUAAUAAUCCAGAGAUAAAAUGCAGGAUAUCUAGCAUUUGGUUGGAGGAAUUAGUUAGUUCCAGAAUUACUUAUCCCACCAUUUAAAUCAUAGUGAUGGGAUAAACUAUCCCAUAUACAUAGUGCUAUAUCUGAUUUUGAGAUAACUAAUCCCCGGAUAACUUGUUACCAACCAAAAGAUUAAGGAGUAUUUUGACACAUUUGACAUAUCCUGGUUUAUAAUAAUAAGAUUCUAAAAUAUUCUUUAUUUUCUUAAAUUUUGUACCAAGUCAAAAGAGAUCAAUCAAUUUAAAAUGAAGGGAAUGUUUAUUAUCACGACUCAGUGUAAAAUUUUAUUUUGAAUUUAAGGCGGUGGCAUUUUUUAGUAUACUUCUUAUAUCCAAAAUGAUAUUUAUAUGUCUUAAGUAACAAUUUAUUUCAGGGGCGGAUCCAGGGGCUUGGGUGGGGGUUCCUAGAACCCAGUAAGUUUUGCGGAUCUUGUAUUUAUAUAGAGAAAUCUAGUAAAUAUAUAACAAUUAUAAGUUGUGAUAGCAUACAAACUACGAAAUCGGAAACUAAACUACGAUACAAAAUGAAAGCUAAAAGGAUAGAUAGAAAGCAAGAAAUAGAUAGACUGAAUGAAUGAAUGGAUAGCAAACUAAGGGUAUAUUAAAACCCUAACCCUUUAUUCAAUAUCAAUCAAAGCAUCUAACUCUCAUGUAGACCUCAACGGAAUCGGAUUCCCAAGCAACCCACGUUUCUAAACAAGGUAUCAACACAAGCUUAUCCAAGCUUGUCUCACACACUCAAAAGAGUAUACAUUCAUAAUUCAUCAAAAUCUCCCUCCUAAAUGAAAGAAAGGUCCUAUUUAUAGUCUUGGUUAAAUUAUUACAUCUUAUGGGCCCAAAAAUGACCCAUUUGGAAAGAACAAAUCAUGGUUGCCCACUUAACAUCUGUUUAAGCAUUUAUGGAGUAUAUGGGGCACAUCUCAGGUGUAUCCCAAGGGAAUAGUGGAUUGUUUUUACUUGAUCUAGCAGAUAUAGAGCUGGUUGGUCGCACCUUCAAAGCGGAUGGGGCAUAUAUCCUCUUUUGGAGGCUUUCUAGCCCCGUCUUGCACUCCCUUGGCCUCUUUAAUGUCCCUUGACCCUCCUUAAAGAUUAUCACCAUCCAAUUGGCACCUUUUGAUAGCACCAAGGAGUUAUCAAGUGCCUCUUGGACCAUGAGCCUCUCAUCCAAAGAUCGGGAGGUAAUUGGGAUUAUAUCAUCCCCUCCUUCUUGAAGAGAAUUCGUCCUCAAAUCUACAACCUUAAAGCACAAGAGAAGAACACACAACCAACAAAUCCUCAAAGCACGAGAGUUAGCACAGUGGUGAACAUAAACACAUCUAUGCCAAAGAGGUACACAUUUGACAUACAACCAAUGAUUUUUUUAUCAACAAAAUGAAUUCAUCAUACACUACACAAAAGGUGUUGGCUAUAAGGAGUCUUAUGAAACAAGGAAACUACCAAGGUUGUAAGACACAAGUAUUUCAUUAUUUCACCAUAAGUCUAUACCCAAGAACUCCUACCUCUAUCUAAAAUAAAUCCCACAUCAACAUGGAUAUUAUCAAAUGCAAAGAAGAUGAGUCUCUUCCAUGGUGUUUCCAUACUUAAGAGUAGCAUGGUACUUAAGAAAUCUAGUAAUCAAGUCACUAGAAGUUGUAACAACCAAGGAUAGAGUCAAGUCAUUAGGAUGCAUAACACCCUUCCUUCAAGACAACUCAUGUUCACACUAAAUGCAUUUUCAACACAAACAUGGCAAUUAUUAUAGGCAAAAAGAUAGAAAAGAAAAGAGUUAAGGACACCAUUCUCAUCUAAAUUACCCUCAAUAAUAAGUCUACAAGAAGCUGAGAUAAGACAAUUUAAGCAUAUUACAUUUUUUCAUUUCUAGCAACUUCCCACACUAAGUACAUUCACCAACUCAAUCAUGCUAUUAGAGAAAAUAGAGGAUCUAUAAGAAACCAAUUCACUCCAAGCCAAACGGUAUACCCAAGAUGUUGGGUGAAUUCUUUUCAUGGCACUUAGCAUGUUUCUAAGAGUCCUUCCUAUUACCUCAACUCGUCCAAUCACACAAGUGUGAAGAUGAUUAGGAAACAUAAGUCAUACAUUAAGUACACACCAAGGACUUUUCCUAAAACCAUAAAUAGAUUGGGUAUCUAGAUUGCAAGACCCACACAAUUCAACCACCAAAGAAAACACCAUAAAGGAAUCUUGAAGACACUAAUAUUCUCAUGGUGUGACAUGAUAUCAAUCAAUUUCAAGGGUCUAUACAAUAUGGGAGAAAUAUCAUCAUGCCUCCAAGGAUCACUAGAAAGAGGAAAGGGUAUAUAUACCUUAGAAGUGAGGCCUUGAACUUUUUAUCUUGUCCUUCAAAUGUACUUUAUCUUGGACCAAUAGACUUGAUACUUUUGCCUCUUUGCAGGAAUUUCCUUAAGAGGUAACUCCUUCUUUUGAUUCAUGGGGUUAGAUGCUUCACCCCUUGUCAUAAAAUAUCCAUCGACCCAUAGGAGUUUGACUAGGUGUCUCCUUUAAGUCAGGCCUUCAUAAACUUUGAAGUCCUUGAAUAAGAAUUCAUCUAGGACUUCAAACUUAUUCUUAUGAGUAGGGGUGUGCGAAAAUAAACCAACCGAUAAAAAUGCUAUUGGGUUAUUGAUAUUUGGUUAUUGGGUUAACGGUUUCUUAGUGGUUUUAUAAAAAAUUUUAUUGGGUAAACGGUUCGGUUUUGGUUUUAGCUUAUUGGGUUAUUGGUUAAACCGAUAACCCAAUAAGAAUACACUAAGUUAUUAUUUUUCCCUAUUUAUGUAAUAUAUAUAUAUAUAUAUAUAUGUGUGUGUGUGUGUGUAUGUGUGUGUGUUAUAUACACUACUUAUUCACAGUUCUGUGAUUCACAAAGUAUUAACCUAUUCAGGAAAACAAAGAAACAAUAUAAAGCACGAGUAUUAUCAUUGGAAAGCUUGAAGCAUUUAGUAGCUUCCAACAAUUAGGAUUCAGUUUUUUUCUGAACUAACAUUCAAUUCAAGAUCGAAUAUUCUUGUAAACAAAAAUGCAUUGCGUAGGAUUUUGAUGGUAACUAAGAUUUUAUUUUUAUGUUAGUUGCUACUAUUUCUAUUUUAUGAGUAUUUUCUUAUUGGUUAAACUAAAAACUGAACUGUUAAUGAUCAAAAACCGAUAAGAAAAUAUCUUAUUGGUUGGUUAUUGAUUUUACAUAUUUAAAAAUUAAAAACUGAUAAACUGAACCAAUAAAACAUAUAAACUAACCGAACCGACGAUGCACACCCUUACUUAUGAGAGUUCUUUUUUGAAUCCAUAUUUGGAAACAUCGGCUCAUGAUCUUGGAAGAGAGAAAUAUUAGUACUAGGUGAAGGGACACUGUGUAUUGAUCUUCAACUCAGGACCUGUUCCCAGAUACACUCAUAUAAUGAGAACUAGGAGAUAUAUAAAGCAAGAAGUGCAGGAAUAAAGUAAAUAAAAGACACAAGGUUUUUACGCGGAAAAUCCUUGCUCAAGGGAGAAAAACAACGACCUACUUUUAGGCUUUCUAAGCUUCACUAUACUCAAGAAACUUCUUAAAUACAGACUCUAAGGAUUAACAUCCUAAUCCUUUGUUUCCUAGCAACAACUCUAUCCCAAGGAAACACAAAUAGUACCUCUACUACUUCAACCUCUAGCUAACUCUAACUGGACUCCAUAAGCUAAAUCUAUUUUGAACAAUCACCUAACUCUAGGUGAUUACAAUGAAAGGAAUACACCUCAAAACCUACUAACAAUUAUAAGAAAUGUAGGUACACAUUUUAGAACAAAGUACAAAGACUUAACUACAACAAAGAGAUAAAGACACGACUAGAUAAAUAAUUAGUUUUCUAUUGCAACUGCAGUCUUUUGAUUCACCACUUCAAAAAGAUAUUUAGUUGUCAGAAUAUGGAAAUGUUGGCCUUUUUAUUGUGGGAGCUGAGCAAUAUAUAUUGUAACAUAAGAAAACCUUAGAGAGAUCUCAUUGGUUGAGGAAAAAAAAGUGGAAACAAAUUUUUCUACCAACUUUUGUACUUUGUGUCAGUUGUGACUGUUGAUUGUGAUAGUAAUAGGUAAGCCCAACCUAUUCUCUACAAAAAAUCUAGGAAAUAGGUCCCAACAUACAGAAUUCAUAUAGUUUGUCAAUCAUCAAAACUAAGGACUUAACAAUUUCCCCCCUUUUUGAUGAUGAUAAACCUAUGCAACCAUUCAUCAUUUUCAAACCAUCCACACAAAGAACAAUAUACACCUUAGCAACACCCCAUAAGCCACAAGGCCAUGUCAAACUAGUUUGUUCAACCAUUUCCCCCUAUCAUUGAUACCUAUAAGUAUAUAGGCAUCCUACACCUUAUUCCCUCUAUCUAUGAGCAUCAAGUUCCCCUUAAGUGAGAGAACUCCUAUCUUCAUUAGUACAACCCAAACACAUCCCAAAUUGCUACUUCCCAACCUAAAGCCUAGCCAAUGUCCAACCUACUACAUCCCAACAUGCUAAAGCAAGCUAACACAAACUAUGUAAUCUACUUCAAACUUUCCCCUUUUUGGUAUCAUUAAAGAGGUUAGGCAGUAAAUUAAGCAUAGAUAAGCAUAUAUGUUAAUUUAUGGCCAUUGAGGUAAUACUUACAUGAUCAAGAAAAGAUCAGAUAAAAAUGAGAGAAGGGAUAACAUAGAGAAAAAAUCACAGUUAUUCAACAAGCAGUACCGAAAACCAUUCAAACAUAACAACCAUUAAAAAUAUUGAAAACAAUAGUGCCAGGUACACAUCAGAGACAAAAGAACAAGAAGAAUCACAGGGCUUAAAGAUAGGACUAGGAAGGUGAAGGAGUAGGUACCAUAAGAGAAAGAUUUAGGAAGAAGUUCCUGUAGCUCGAUCUAGCUUCCUGAGGAGUAUAUUCAUUCUUUCAUAUUCUGCAGCAUGAGCCUUAAGAAUCUAUGAAUCAACGCUUCAUUUUUUGCAGUCAAGGGUUAAACUUGAGCUUCUAACUUCUCCAUCCUUGCAUGUAGGGUAACAUUUUCUUCUUUUAACUUUUCACCAGAGUUGGUCCCCUCUUCAACUCCUUUGACUGAUGCAACUUUUAAUGUAACAAUCUCAACAUCCUUUAUAGCAAUUAUGAUAGUCAUUGACUCCAUUUCUUCCUUCAAAUUCUUCUGUGGUUCCACUAUCUCAGACAUAGGGGACUUAGACUUCUCACCACCUCUCCUGGGAACACACUCAUUGUCCUCUAGAGUGGUUAUAUUAAGUAUUUAUUUAACCGAUCCAAAUUUUCCUUGUUCACACACCACAUUAAAGUAGUCAAAAAUAUUGUUAAGUCAAAACCCAUAUACCAGGCCAUGUUUUCCAUCCUUAGCAGUAAUCACUGUAUGCAUAUGUUCAAUAAUGAGAGUAGAAAGGUUGAUUUUCUUAAAUUUUGCCAACAUCUCCAUGAGAUAUAGAUCAGGACCUGUGAUAGUGGUUUUUUUUUCUAAUCUAGGUAGAAGAUACUUAUUUACCAACUCAAAGAAUAGUUAGUACUCACCAUUUAGGGCCUUAUUGGUUACAUUCUUUACAUUCAUAUCAUCAAUAUUACUACAAACCGUUAAAAACUUGGUUGAUCCUUCUUCCUUUUUUGCAGAUUUUAUUCCCUCAGUAGGGACUCCCAAGAUUUUAGACAUUAUCUCCUCAUCAAUAACAAUAUUUAUUCCAUUCACCUGAGAGAUCAUGUACAAACCAUCUUCAGAGAAUGUUAGGUUGCGAUAAAAAUGCAAUUCUUAUUCAUAUAACAGAGGAACAUGUCCCUCCAAUAGAUGCUCCCAUGCUUGAAACUUAACCCAUUCGAUUAAUUCCUUCAUUACAGGAAGCUCAGCCACAGUGGGAUCAAAUAUUAUGCCUCUCAUCACUUUUUGAGUCUUCAAAAUUUUUUGCCUUGCCUCUUUUGACAGCACUCUACCCUUCACAAUGAAGGAGGAGGCCUUUCCCAGGGCACCAACUCCCUUUUCAGAUGAACUAGAAGCUUCAGAGGUAUUAGCAACCUUGGGGCUGGGACCUGAUACAUUGUUCCCUACAGAUUGUACCCUUUUUCUCUUCCUAGUUUGCUUAGAUAUAUUCUUUUAUCUGAACUCACUUCUCUUUUCUCGAAGAAUAGUUUACUUAAUUACUUUAGAAGAGUGACUAAAUUUACUAGUCUUAGUGGGGAGAUUCAUGAAGUAGGUAUAGUAAUGAUAGGCUUAGAUAUUAUGAUUGAUGAAAACACAAACUGAUAAGCUAUGUGGUUAGUACUCCAUGAAUUAAGACAUGAGGUUGUUGGAUUACAGUGAUGAGGUGAGGUUAUAUUCUUAAUGGGAGGUAGAGUAUAGGGUCCCAUAGCUUAAGCUAGCACCUUUUUACCCCGAGUUAGGCUUCAACAUAAAAAGAACUAUGUAGUGAAACUCAAACUCUUGUAGUUAGGUAUGUUAUGGAAAAUUAUAGGUUGGAAAUAAUGAAGUAUGUUAUUUACUUAUUUAUUUAUUUAUUAUUUGGGGCAUAGUCGAGUAGUGUCUCUAAGUGUAAGGUCUAAUCGUUUUAAAUUGUACGGUGGAGAAUGUUUCUAUUCCUAUCUUCUGCGAAACCUUAUUUCAUGAAUAGUACCAAUGUAAAUCAGGCCUAUUAUCACCAAAUAAGAUCAUGCCUUAUGUUGUGAUGAUUAUGAUCCCUAGAACUCAUAUGCAAGGUCAUCGCUAUGUUAAUUCUUGUUAUCUCACGCUUUGUGCUUACACGUUUCACUAAGGGUUAUCAUGAAUCCCUUUUGAUGCCUUUGCAUACUUAGUUGAGGAGAAAUGUUCAAUGUGAAGCUAUGUUCUUUAUUUCAUACUUUUUGAGCUUUAACAAGUUCCUACCCAUCAUUCGGGAAUGAAUGAUCCCAAGGGAGAGAUAAUGUAACACCCCAUAGUUGUAAUGCUCUAUUAAUGCAUUUAAAAUGACCUUUAGGACACCUAUAGUGAUAGUAGAUUAUGUAUAGACAUUGUGGGAGGUGUUGGGGGUGUUUUAGGACCUCAAAACUUAGUGUGUGUCGCAUUGCCAUCGCCUAUAGCCACUGGAAAAGCUAGGCGAUGAGGUAGGCGCCGCUCACCUAGGAGCUAGAAGAUAGGCAAGGCGCCACCCAUAUUGUGGCUAUGCCAUGGACAAGGCGUCACCCACCUUGUGGCUACAUAAUAGGUUGGGCACCGUAUGGCCAAUGCAUUGCAGCGUAGGGGCUCUAUUUUUGUAUUAUUUUAAGGGUAAUAUGGUCCUUAAAUGUUCCAUAACCAUCCCUAAACACUCUUAGAUGAAAUUAAAGUCCAUAUUCAUGUUAUAUAACUUACUACAUCCCUAAUUCAUCUUAUUUAAGCAAGAAAUGGGAAAAUUAACUAGGGUUUUAGAGAUUAAGCCUCAAGAGUCAAAAUUUCUCAAUGUUUUCAUCAAUCUAAGAUAUGUGGGGAUAUCCUAAACCUCAUGGACGUAGAUUUACUAUUUUUAAACAAGCUAUAAAGAGCAUAUAUUUAUGCGUACGAAAUAGAUUUUGAAAGUAUUGAUGAACAUGCAUUAAAAAUCUCAUUUUACAAUGAAGUCUUAUAGAAAUUAUGGUGUUGUACCCUAAAUAUGAAAUGUUUUCAUGUGUUCAUGUGCUAUUAAGUUUGAGAAGUUAAAUGAGAGCAUGAUGUAUGUAAUUCCCUUUCUUAUUAUUAAACCCAUUGUUUUUACAUGUUGUGGGUUGAUUAUACAGAUAGCUAAAAACUUGAGUUUGAAGGUUUACUGUCAUGUAUGAAUUAUACUGUUUUUAUUACUAAAUGAGAGGGUGUUUUCCUUGAUUUAUAAAUGUUCAUGUUCCCAAAAGAGAGUUGCAUGUAACUGAAUAAGGAUUUGACCACUGUAGAUAAAGUAUUGAAGAGAGAUAGUGUUUUGUUUUCAUAUGCUUUUGCAGUAUGAAAUCUCGCCUGAUUUUUUAAUAUUUUGGGUGGUCAAUAACAUGCUUUUCAAUAAGAAGGGUAAUAGAGAAGUUUUGGUAUAAAAUGAAGGACUUGCAAGUCUGGGUAUGACUAUAUCUAUUAAAAUGUGCCCUAAAUAGAAUAAGAGAGAAACAAUUAUAAGAAGAAAGCAUGAUUUUUUUAAGAGUCUAAAAUAGGGCUUAAGAAAGUUAGAUGGUUACCCGAAGAAGGCACAAGUUUAAAUAACUUAUUUCUCAACAUAGUGAUUUGCCGACACAGGUUUUAUAUUGCCCUGAAAUAGGGGAAUGUACGCUGGUGAUGGCCUUGUGGCAUAGUAGAGAUGCAGAGACUCCAGCCCUUAUGGGAAAAUUGGCUUAGGGGCUUGGCCGUCAAGUCAAGAGCGGAUUCCAUAUAGCCUAUAAAAUUACAGAUUGUAGGAUAUACCAUCUAGCUCAAUAGAGAAAUGAAGAGUUGAGUCAUGAUUUCAAUAAGUUAUUUUGAAGCUCAUCACAUUAUGCCCAUGUGUUUUCAUUUACCUUAUGUUAAAUGUUUUUAUAAAAUGCUCUCACAUAUGUUGUAUAAAAAUAUAUUAUUUUGGAUUGUUAUAUGUACCAGUAUUUUUUUGUAUUGACCCCCUAUAUUUCAGGUUAUGCGGUAUAGUCCCAUGGUCCAUCACAUCAGUAGAACACUUGGGAUUUGACAGAAGUGAUGAGCCAUCCAUCUUUGAAAAGGCAUUUAUUUAUAUGUUGAAUCUUUCAGUAAAUGAUCCAGUCGGGGGCUUUGUCUCGGCCUAGACAGUUAGUAUUUAGUAGAGGCUUCGUAGAUGGUAGUUGAAGUGUUGUAUUGUCAUAUCUUAUGAUGCAUUUCAGAUUGUAAGUUUUCCAAUAAAUAUUGUUAUAUCUUCCGCACUUUAAUUUAUGUAUGGAUUUUGCUUAUGAUAGUAUGCUAAGAGGUCUCUCGGGCUUUGUGGUUCGGGAUACCCGUUGCGAAUAGGGUCCUAGCUCGGGUCGUGACAAUCUUGGUAUCAGAGCACAGUUUAUGGUUCCAGGGUAUCUACGAAGCCGUGUCUAGUAAAGUCUUGCUUAUGGGUGUGUUGUGCACCACACUUAUAAUCAAGAGGCUACCGGGCAUUUAGGAGUUGUUUCUCAUUUUUUCAUAUUCAAGUUCAUGCUAUAGUGUCAUCCAUAUGAAAGGUAUCCAAUUUUCUUCCUUCCUAUAAUUUUAUGGGUCAGGCCUCAUUGUCGAGGCGAUACAAGUUCAAGAGUUUAAAUCCCCAACAAUGUGGUCCUUUUUUAUUGAGUUAUCCAUGAAGUUAUGAGAUAGCACAAGGACUUGAGAGGAGUCCAUUAGUGCUUCAAAGUUAUUGAUUCAAGUGUAUACCUCUAUCUUAAUAAAAUUGUGCUUUUCAGCCUGAGGUAUGAAGUGUACUCAGUCCCUUUCAAAAUCCCUAUUAUGGAUGUCAUGCUUAAGGAUAGAGAUAUGUGACAAAAUGUUGGAACAAUAUUUUCACCUAAGUAGUAGUAUAUGAUAAGGUGUAAUAACCUAUUUGUAGUAAGAUUAUCCCGAAGUUAGUUUUAUAAAUUCGCAAGUCUAGAAGUUAGAGUGAGGGUGACUUUCACAUAAAUAAGUUGUUGUAGUUGUAUAACCCUUGACUGGGGGGUGGUUUGCUCUUUUAUGGUGAUGGGCUGAUGUUGUAGAAAGAUUUGUAGAUUGCAUGGUAUUCUGUGAAGGAAGUGAUUGGCUAUGAUUGUUAUUUAUUCAAAAUAGGAAAGGAUCUCAGAGUGGAUAGUUAUGGUGGUUAUAGAAAUCAUUUAUAGGCUGUGAAUGAAAAAGGGAUAGAUUAGUUAAUAAGUUAUAGGUAGAGACUCAUUGGUGUAUAUAGAACUUGAAGGUAGUGGGGAUAUAUGUAUGGGUAAGUAAAUAUGAUGUGAGAAAGUGGUAUAUGUUGAUAAGAUCGUAAUGGGUUAUGGUAUAAGAUUAAGAUCGACUGUCCCUAUUAUGUGACUUUACCCCCUUGAUUGUCUUUUCUCUAGUAGUUGUAAACUAGUACUUCAUGUGAGAAGGUAUAUAGUAAAUUUUGAGAUGUAGUAGUGAUACAUGGAUAGGAUAUGAUUUUAGGUAGUAGUUAAGUGAAAUGAGGUAUUGGUUUGAUUUCCCAAUUUGAUGGACCAGUAUAGUAUGUGGCAUGCCUCAUCGGUGGUACAUAAUUGAUGCUAGACUCUAGGCUUGAACUUUAGAUGUGGAGUGUGGUGGUAAGUAUAUUGGCUUAAGAUUAAUGAUGUAUGUUUUGUAGGAAUAAACUAGUAGGCUUAAUGUAAGAUAUGAAAUUUCCUAGGUUGGCAAUUUAUGAAAGAAAGAGUGGAUAAUUGUUAUAUAUGUACAUGAGGACUAAGGUGAAACGAUGAAUUGUGGUUGAGUCGUUAAGAGGGUAAGAGUAUUAGGUAUAUAAGAAUAAGUUGAAACCCCCUGAUAGUAUGUUGUUAGAUAAGGUUUUAUGGGUAUAAGUGUCAUGUGUACCUAGUUCAUGUUCUUGAAUUGUGCAGUAUGGGGAAGACUAAGGAGUUGCUGUGUGAUGUUCUUUAGAGCUGAAUUGAGAAAAUAUAGGUAGGCGGUAUGUGCCUUUGGUAUAGUUUUACAAAUUUUGUAAAGUUAUGAGUUAUGCGAUUAGAGGUUUAAUACGAGUAUGUUAAGUAAUAAAGGAUGAAUUAUUAUAUGAUAAGGAUAUUCGGAUAUGUAUUCUCAUGAGAGUGUGAGUUGUAGGGUGAUGGCUAUAGAGGCUAGCGAAAGUUAAGAGUUGCACUUCUGGAAAGCGAGACUUUAGAGUAUAGUUUAUCAGAGGAGUUUAGCAUUUAUGUGUAUGGUGAUACCCCAUUGUGUUGAGUGUUGUUCCUGUAGAUUUAUUGAGAAGAUAUGCCCUAAGUUUAGGAUUGUGACUUUAAUCUAAGGGAGAGAUGAUGAACUAAGGUAGUUCUUGAAUUUUCUCAUGGUGGCAAGUUUCAGGGAAGAUUCAUGAUAAAUCUAUUCCUAUUCAAGCAGACUCCUUCUACUUCAAUUUAAGAGGUCAUUCUACCAAUGCCUCAUGUAUUCAAGUGCCUAUACCUAAGGUUUAAAUUAUCUAUGCAACUUAUGUCUAUGUUCCGUACUUCAAACUAAAAGCAAUAAUGUCCCCCGACAAUCCAAGCUUUCAAGUAUUCAAGUUCUAUGUUAUGAUGCUCAUGAUCUAUAAAUCUAUGUCUCACAUCAUGCUUGGUUCAAAGAAAAUAUGUUUUCCAUAUGUCACCGAUUCAUUUUAUGUCGGGUUUAGCCUAAAGUGAUAUGGUACAUGUAAACUCAUGACUAUCUCAGCUCUGAAAAUGAGGAGCAAUAACUUCAAGUAUCAAGUCUUGUCUCAAUCAGUAACUUCAUGAAUUUUGGCCUUAUGGUAUAUGACUCAUGAUAUAUGCGCUCAUGUUUCUCACCAUAAGUUCAGUCCUACAAACUUAUAUUGUACUAUGUUUAUACCCGAACGACUCUCUAUUUAUGAUUUAGGCAUCUAAUGUAUGAAGUACUUCAUUCCUAUUGCAUCACAUCUACCAUUGCAUCCCCCACCUUGAGUAGUGCAACAAGUAUGAGUUAUAAUUAAAUAGUGUUACUCCUAUUCAUAAUGCUUAUGCUCGGGUCGCUCAAUGACCAUCCAUAUGUUAGUAUGAUGGUGGUUGUGUGAACAUAGUAAUGUCUUAGGUAGGGGAGUAGAUGUUCUUGAAUGUGAAAAUUUUAAUGUGAUUCUCGAGUUAUGAUUAUAUGUGAAGGAGGAAAAAAAGAGAUGAACUUUCGUUGUGUGAAAUAGUUAGGAAGGAGAUAUGUGGUGAAAAUCUUUGUGAGAGUGACUGAAUUUGUUGGUCUUAGUGGGGAGAUUCAUGAAGUGGGUGUACUAAUGAUAGGCUUGGAUAUUGUGAUUAAUGAAAACACAAAACCAAUGUGCUAUGUGGUUAGUACUCCAUGAAUUAAGACAUGAGGUUGUUGGAUUACAAUGAUAAGGUGAGGUGAUAUUCUUAAUGGAAGGUAGAGUACAGGGUCCCUAGCUUAAGCUAGCGCCUUUUUACCCCGAGUUAGGCUUCAACAUAAAAAAUACUAUAUAGUGAGACUCAAACUCUUGUUGUUAGGUGUGUUAUGAAAAAAUAUUAGGUUGGAAAUAAUGAAGUAUGUUAUUUAUUUAUUUAUUUAUUAUUUGGGGCAUAAUUGAGUAGUGUCUCUAAGUGUAAUGUCUAAUCAUUUUAGAUUGUACGGUGGGGAAUGUUUCUAUUCCUAUCUUCCGCGAAACCUUAUUUCAUGAAUAGUACAGAUGUAAAUCAGGCCUAUUAUGUAACACCCCAUAAAAUUUUUGAGUCAUUAGAGCUUCUAAAGCAUGUCAAGAAAGGCUUAACACUUAGAAAAUUUGACUAAGUGUUGAAACUUUUUCAUUUCCAUAAGCCUUCGAAACUUUGAUGAAUUAUUUUGUGACCUGCCCAACCUCUAAUUCUUGAUUUUCUUGUUACGCUGCAAAGGGGCAAGUCAAGAGUACAUCCCGGGUGAGUUUCGAAAUUUUUGGACGAGCCUAAGGUCGUGUUUGGGUUGGAAAAACAGUAGAUAAAGGCUACAGAGGGGCACCCCCAGCUUAGAUCCUUGGCCCCUUCCCUCAGUAGCAAGGCGCCGCCCAGGUUCCACCAUGGGAAGAGAAAGGCGCCGCCCUUCUCCCCUGGGAAUAGUAGGGCGCCGCCCAGGCUGUAGCCCUGGGCCAAAAAUCUGCAUUCCAAGUCCGUGUUUUCAAGGGCAAUUUGGACAAAUACCACCCCUAUAUAAGUUUCUUUAACACGAGAGUCAUCAUAUUUUCACCCAAAAUAUAAGGUUUUCUCUCAAUUUUCCUCAAGAACAAGAAUAAGGGUUUCUAUUGAAGGUUCAAAAUCAAGGAAAUUCCUUCGUGAAUCUUUCAAGAAUCAUAUAGGAAGGUAUGUUGGAUGUUGAUUCUUGGGUUCCUCCCACCCAAGAAGUUCAAGAAUCCCUUUUUAAAUUCAAGAUCUUAUGUUUAUGAGUUUUUCAUGACUGGAGUUGUUUGAAGUUGAAGCCCACGUUAAUAUUAAGUUUUAAUUCAUGUUGUGAUCAUAAAGAUACAAGUAUUGACCUUAGUAUGUGUUGGUUAUGUGAUGUUCAUGAUAAAGUCCCUUCAUGAAGCAUGCUGAGUUAUGUAAUUAUGUUAAUUUGGUGUAUUGAAUGUUGUAUGGCCAAAGGAUGCCUCCCACAUGUUUGAUAAAUUGCUCAUGUGAAGAAAAUAGUGUCAUUGUAACAUGAAGUAUGUUAUUCCCAAGCAUAUGUCAACUAGUGCAUGCUAAGUGUUUGUUAAAAGGCCUAAAAUGAAAGAAUUAUGAUAUGUUGCAUGUAUUCCUAUUCAUGUGAAUUCCUUGUUGGAUGAGUUAUGAGACAACAUCAUGCUUCUCAUUACAAUUACAUGUUUAAGAUUCCCAAGUGCUUGAAAUGAUGCUUUAUUGGUUAUGUUGCGAAUAAUAGUCUAUUGUCAUGAUUGUUACGCAAGAGUUUUCAUGUCUUAUUUAUUUAUGCUAUCGAGUCCUGGGGGUAUUUAAUACCCAAAAACUUAGUUUCUUGUCUAAAGCUGAGUCAGUCUCAAGAUAAUCUCAGUCGUGCUAUGAUUAGCAGGAUUCAGACAGUUACAGAAUGUAAAGAAAUUCAGUAAUCUCAGUACUAGUUCAAUCCAGUCUCAGUAUUCAGUCUAAUCAAGCUCAGUACUCAGGUCAGAUUUCAGUAAAGCUGAGUGAGUUACAGAACUCAGUCACGUUCAUACAGAAAGUAGAAUCCAUAAGCAUUCUGUCAGACAACGGAAUCAAGCAAACUCAGUCAGAUCAGUCAAGUAAGAUAAUCAGCAACAGAUUCAGUUCAGUUUAGUUUAGUGUAAGAAUCAGUUCAGAGUCCUUCAGUUGGGAGUAGGAACUAGCACCAAGCGAGUGCAGGGAUGACGACUUCCCCUUUAGAGAGGCAGAGUCGUUAGGAGCAAUCCCUAAACUCCAAAACUGCGUAGCCAGCAUAGGAAUAGGAUUCACCCGUUAGAUUAAGGCUUGAUUAUCAUAUUGCCUUAGGCUUGACUUUCUGUUCAGGGUCACCCGUUAGAGAGGCUUGACCAUAGCAGAGGUCUUUACCCAUGGCACGGUAUUGACACCCUUCCAGCCCACUAGAUUAGAAUCGGGGCAUGUCGGUUAGGUGAGAACUCCUAUAGUUGCAGUUUUAGUAUCAGUCUUCAAACUAGAACUCAAAAAUCAGAACUGUCAGAUACAGCCACCCAUCUUAGAAAGGAACUUAGAUAGUUCCAUAGAUUCAUAGACCACCCGCUAGAUAGGCCUUGUAUCACAUAAAGUUAAUCAGUAUUAGUACUAAAAGAUCCAGAGAUCCCCCGUUAGAUAGGCCCGAUCUCAAACUCAGUCCAUCAUUUCUAUUAUUACAAGAUUCAGAGAUCUUCCGCUAGAUAGGUCUGAUCUUAGAUAUAAUUAUUCCUUAUCAUUAUUAGUAGAUUCAGAGAUCAUCCAUUAGAGAGGUUUGAUUACAGAUUUAGUCAGUCGAUAGUAGCAAAAUUAGAACUCAGUUAUUGAUAUAAGUAGAUUCAGUUAAUCAGCUUCAGUAUCAUCAGUUUCAAAGAUCACUUGCUAGAUAGGACUGAUCUCAACUUCAGUACUCAUUUAACAAUAUCAGAAGAUUCAGUUAUUCAGUACCUCAGUAUUAGUAGUGAGUUCAAAUAUCAGUAAAACAAUAUUUGAGUCUCAGUAUUCAGAGUCAUGAUGAUUUUCAGUUAUGGUUUGUGCAUUCAUGCAUAUGUCCUUAUUCAGUACUCGCAUGUUAUUCAGUUAAGUUAUGUUCAUGCAUAAGCCCUUGCAUUUAGCCUUACCUCAUAUAGCAUACUAGUACAUUCAAAGUACUGGCAUACUUUUUUCUUACGCUAUAGUGUUUUAUACCAUAGGUUCAUAAGCGCGAGAUCUAGAGCACCCAUAGCAGUCCAGACUCAGUAGCAGCAAUAGACGUAGUAGUCAGUCCUCUUCAUUUAAGGAUGCCUCAUAUUUCAGUUUUAUAUUAGAUUUAUUUUAUUUUCAGUAGAAGGAGUUAGUUGGGGACAUAUCCCAUCAACUCUACAAAUCAGAUAGUUAGAGGCUUUUCAGACAGAUGUAUUAGUAUUCAGUUUUUAGUUUUGUGCAUUUUAGACGUUUUGAACCUUAUGGCAAGUUUUCUCCAGUUUUCUGCAUUUGUUAUAUUAUAUUAUGCAGUUCUCAGGUACAGAUAUUAGUAGAGGGUUAGCUUGUGGUCCUUCGGGAUCAUGAGCACCAUGUGGCGUUAUGAUUUCGGAAAAUCGAGGCGUUACAUAUUAUCACCAAAACUCAUGCUUUAUGUUGUGAUGGUUAUGAUCCCUAGAAAUCAUGUGCAAGGUCAUCUCAAUGUCAAUUCUUAUUUUAUCACGCUUCGUGCUUACACAUUUCACAAGGGGUUAUUAUGAAUCCCUUUUGAUGUCUUUGCAUACUUGGUUGAGGAGGAAUGUUCAAUGCGAGGUUACAUUCUUUAUUCCAUAUUUUCAGAGCUUUAACAAAUUUCUACCCAUCAUUCGGGAAUGAAUGAUCCCAAGAGAAAGAUAAUGUAAUGCCCCGUAGUUAUAACACUCUAUUAAUGCAUUUAAAAUGACCUUUAGGACCACCAUAGUGAUGGUAGAUUAUGUGUAGACAUUGUGAGAGAUGUUGGGGGUAUUUUAGAACCUCAAAACUUAGUGUGUGUCGCACUGCCAUCGCCUACUGCCGCUGGAAAAGCUAGGCAGUGGGAUAGGCACCACCCACCUGGGAGCUAGGAGAUGGGCAAGGCGCUGCCCACGUUGUAUCUAUGCCAUGGACAAGGCGUCGCCCAUCUUUUGGCUAGGCCAUGGGCUGGGUGCCGUAUGGCCAAUGCAUUGAGGCGUAGGAGUUCUGUUUUUGUAUUAUUUUAAGGGCAACAGGGUCCUUUCACAUUCCAUAACCGUCCCUAAAAACUUUUAGACGAAAUUAAAGUCCAUAUUCACGUUAUAUCACUUACUAAAUCGCUAAUUCAUCUUCCUUAAGCAAGAGAGGGGAAAACUAACUAGGGUUUGAGAGAUUAAGCCUCAAGAGUCAAAGUUUCUCAAUGUUUCCAUCAAUCUAAGGUACGUGGGUCUUUCCUAAACCUCAUGAGCGUAGAUUUACUAUUUUUAAACAAGCUAUAAUGAGUAUAUAUUUAUGCAUACGAAAUGGGUUUCAAAAGUAUUAAUGAAUAUGCAUUAAAAAUAUUGUUUUAUGAUGAAGUCUUGUAGAAAUUGUGGUGUUGUGCCCUAAAUCUGAAAUAUUUUGAUGAGUUCAUGUGAUAUUAAGUUUGAGAAGUUAAAUAAGAGCAUGAUGUAUGUAAUUCCCUCUCUUAUUAUUGAACCUAUUGUUUUUACAUGUUGUGGGUUGAUUAUACGAAUAGCUAAAAGCUUGAGUUUGAAGGUUUAUUGUCAUGUAUGAAUUGUAUUAUUUUUAUUACUAAAUGUGAGGGUGUUUUUCUUAAUUUAUAAAUGUUCACGUUCCCAAUAGAGAGUUUAGUGUAAUUGAUAAAAGAGAUGAUCAUCGUAGAUAAAGUAUUGAAGAGAGAAAGUGUUUUAUUUUUAUGUGCUUUUGAAGUAUGAACUCUCGCCUGAUUUUUCAAUAUUUUGGGUGGUCAAUAACACGCUUUGACAUAAGAAGGGCAGUAGAGAAGUUGUAGUAGGAAAUGAAGAACUUGCAAGUCUGGGUAUGACGAUACCCUAUUAAAAUGUACCCUAAACAAAAUAAGAGAGAAACAGUUAUAUGAAGAAAACACGAUUUUUUUAAGAGUCUAAAAUAAGGCUUAAGAGAGUUAGAUGGUUACCCAAAAAAGGCACGAGUUUAGAUAGCUCAUUGCCCAAAAUCGUGAUUUGCUAACACGGGUUUUAUGUUUCUCCUAAAUAGGGGAUUGUACGCUGGCGAUGGCCUUGUGGCGUAGUAGAGAUGUAGAGACUCCAGUCCUUGCGACAAACUUGGGUUAGGGGCUUGGCUGUCGAGUCAAAUUUAAAGUCGGAUUUCAUAUAGCCCAUGAAAUUACAGAUUGCAGGGUGUACCAUCUAACUCAGUAGAGAAAUGAAGAGUUGAGUCAUGAUUUCAAGAAGUUGUUUUGAAGCUCAUCACAUUAUGCCCAUGUGUUUUCAUUUACCUUAUGUUAAAUAUUUUUAUGAAAUGCUCUCACCUAUGUUGUAUAAAAAUAUGUUAUUUUGGAUUGUUCUACAUACCAGUAUCUUUGUGUAUUGACCCCCUAUAUUUCAGGUUAUGCGGUAUAGUCCCAUGGUCCAUCAUAUUACUAGAACACUUGGGAUUUGACAGAAUUGAUGAGCCAUCCAUCUUUCGAAAGGCAUUUAUUUAUAUGUUGAGUCUUUCAGUAUAUGGUCCACCAGGGGCUUUGUCCCGGCCUAGACAAUUAGUAUUUAGUAGAGGCUUCGUUGACGGUAGUUGAAGUGUUGUAUUGUCAUAUCUUGUGACACAUUUCAGAUUAUAAGUUUUCCAAUAAACAUUGUUAUAUCUUCUGCAUUUUGAUUUAUGUAUGGAUUCUGCUUAUGAUAGUAAGUUAAGGGAUCUCUUGGGCCUUCGUGGUUCGGGAUGCCCAUCGCGGCCAGGUUCCCGACUCGUGUCGUGACAUAAUAACUUAAAAUCACCAUAGAAACUUUUGUCCAACAAUACUCGUCUAUCUAUAAUCUAUAUCUAUAAUAUAUUAAAAGUUUGAAGAACUUUAUAAAUGUUGUUUAAAUUUUUUGUCCUUCAUUAAAAAACCAGACAAUAGACAAAACAAUCAUUUACUAAUUUUUUUUUUUAUAAUAAAUUGUAGUAAAUAAUUUUUAAAUUUUAUUUUAAAUAACCAAAGACUACACGUGUGAGGCACACGCAUUUAACCUAAUAUUACUAAAAAUAGAUGUCUAACAAUACUUGUUCAGUUUGAAAAAUCAAUGAAUAAUUUACUCAUUUCUAUCCAUUUUACCCUUAAUAAUAAUUUAUAGUCAUUCCUCAAUAUAAUUUUCUAAGCAUUGAAUUAAUUAUAUCCAAAGGGCGAUAUAGUCAAAUUACUCGUACUACUUAUUGUUUCUUAACAUAUACAUCAAUGAUGGAUAAGUAUUAUUACUAAGAAAAUAAACUUUAAAUUAUGAAAUCACAUUGGUCAUCAAAUCUACUCUCCCGUCCCAAAUUUCCUAAUUUGAUUUCCUAUUUUACUUGUCCUUUUUCAUUAAUCAAGAAGAGACAAAAUUAUUUCUUCGUGUUUUACCCUUUGCAUUAAUUAUUUUUUUUUCAAAUUAAAAUAUAAACAUUAUUUAAUAGGGGCACUAUCAUAAAUUAGUCAUGUUAUUAAUUAUUUUUUUUAAUCAAUAUGUCAUCUCAAUUUGAGAUGGGUAAUUUGGGACGAAGGGAGUAAUUGAAUGUGGGAGUUUGGGACCAACACGGAUCAAACAUAUCAUUUAAGUGGUCCGCCCAAACAACUCUUCGUGGUUCGUAACAUUAUAAUUUAAGUGUACGCAAGAUUUUCCACAAAUUAAAUGGCAGUAUUCGUAUAUUCAUUAUCACAACUCAAUGUGAAAUUUUAUUUUGAAUUUGAGGCAGUGGAGCUUCCAAUCCUAUAAUUUUUUUUUCUUAUCCAGAUUGAUAUUUAUAUAUCUUAUGUGGUGUUAGAUCAUAGUAACAAUUUUAUUAUUUUUUUAAUGUGAAAUCAAUAAAUAUUUUUUGUAUAAAAAUUUCUUUUACUUAAUUAUGUGAGUUAUAUCUUCCAUUUUAAUUUAAGUGACUGAAUUUGUUUCUAGUCUAUUUAGAAAGAAACGAUCACUUUUAAAAUUUGAAAAUAUUUCAGCUUAAACUUAUCAUUUUGCCCCUUUUUGUCCGUUAAACUGCGUGUUUGGUCAAUAGAUUCACACAAAUUGCUUCUUCAGAAAAGGAACAUCAAACGUUUACUUGGAAAACACGUUAUACAUGUAUGAUCCAAGUAAACGUCCAAACAUCCUUUCUAGCAUACCCGUCCGAAGAGUCAUGGAUAGGAUGAGUGAAAUGGUGGACAGGUAGUGCCUGAAAAACAGAAACAGAUAUUUCUGAAUCCCAAGGGCGAGUUUUCCGGGAGAACCCAACAGUUGAUGAAAGAUUUGAAAGCGCACAAGAAGAAUUCAUUCCCACCUCGGACUAGUAGGGGAGUGGAGGCAUAUAAAUAUUCUACUUUAUUAAACUAGUUAACCAUAAUAUAAUAAUUAAUACAAUUUAAUAUAAAUAUUCGAUGCAGAUAAAUUUUUAAUCGUUGAGUUAUUAUACACAAAUAAAUAUUUUUAAAAUAUUAUUUACAUAUAUAUGUACCUAGCCAAUUGACAGAGGCUAUUUCUAGAAGGGUGUCUUUGUCACUGUUUACGUCCGUCUUUAUUUCUUGUCAACAAGGAAAAAUAUAAGUUAAUUGUGGUGGAAAUCAAGAGCAUUCUUGUCAUAUCCAGUCGAUUAGUUAAAGGGACACACUUCUGGUGUAACAGAUCAUAAUUAUAAUAAAUUAGUGGUGAAAUAAUUAAUGAAUAAAAAUUAAGAGGAAAAUAAGAGAAUUUCUUCUUAGAUGAGACACAAAUAUCUCGCUCUUUUUAAGAAGAUUCAAAUUCACUACGACAUAAUUUACAUCGAUAUAAUAGUAUAUCUCUUGACUUGUCCCCUACAAGAUACAACAACCCAUCAACGAUAUACAACUCAAGCAAUUUCAGAUUAGUUGAAGAGUCCAAAGCUCCAUCACAAAAACACCUUUAUUAAACAUAUUAAAACACUCUUUUGUAUAGUGAAUAUAGUUGUAGAUUCAGAAUAUUUUCUUUGUCUCAACUCUUUGUUUCACUAAUACAAUUUUCACACUUAUCAUAUUUUGUUGUUCAUAAUAUAUCCAACACAAAUGAAGAAACACCAUUAUUUGUAGGUGUAGAAUUUUUUCAUGUAAUGAAUAUGAUGAAUGAGGCGUAGUAACGUGGGUAGAUAAAUAGUCUUGAUGUUACAUAUGUUACAUGCAGUUAAUGACCAUGGAGUUAUAAGAAACUAAUGGUCAUAUGAGUUACAAGAACUAAUAAUCAUCUUUUACCAUAAUUUAUACCCACUAACACACAAAAAAAAAAAUAUGGUGAGUUACAAGAAUAAUGACACUGCUUUCUUCAUUUUAUGCCAACUAAUUGUCAUCCACUUUAAUAUUUUUAUUUUAAUAUGAAAUGCACCAACACUUCAUUCCACCUCCCUCUGUUUCAAAAUAAAUAAACUAAAACAAAAAAAAAAUAUAUCUUAAAAUAAUUGUCGCUUUAGAAAUUCAAGAAAAAAAAAUAGUAAGUGUUUCAAAAACAUUUUUGUACUUCUUUUAUUUUAAUUUGUUUAUCUACUUUCUUUUUUAGUCUGUUUAAAAAUGAAUGUAUCUUUCUUAUUUUGAAAACUCUUUAUCUUCUACCGGUCAGGUUUAAGACCACAAUAUUAAUAGUUUGAGAAAUUUUACAUACUUUUAAUUUAAGAUCAUAAAAUUCAAAAAUUAUUUUUUACUUUCUUAAACUAUAAACUGUGUAUCAAACCAAAAUCAGACAAAUACAUUGUAAAAAGAGAGUACUAAAGCAUUAUUUCUUUUUAAUAGUACUCAAUUAUUAAGAAACAUCGUCUAACAAAUACUAGAAACGGCACUAGAAAUAACAUAGUAAACUAUAUUUUUUAUUUAUUAUUUUUCGGUGUGAAAUAAGCUAAUAUGACAAUUAUUUUUUGGACGGAAGGAGUAUAUCACUUUGAAUUCCCCUCUUAUCAACUUCAAACACUAGUAUAAAUAACACAUUAAUUUCCAUAGAGGAAAUAAGUUAAGGAAUGGAGAUUGUUGCUUCCUACUUAGUCUCAUUUUUGUUUGCAAUAAUUUUAGUAAUAUAUGCAUGGAGGUUGUUGGAUUGGGUAUGGUUUAGGCCAAGGAAACUAGAUAAGUGCCUAAGAAAACAAGGUCUCAAAGGGAAUUCUUACAAAUUAAUCUUUGGAGACCUCAAAGAGUUGUCCAAAAGCUUUGAAGUUGCCAAAUCCAAACCAUUCAAUGUCUCUGAUGACGAUAUAUCUCCCAGAAUUCUUCCUUAUUUUGUUGAAUCAAUCAAGAAACAUGGUAAGUUUUCGUUUUGUUUCGCACCUAAUGGGUAUUCUGUGCCUGUUUUUCAGUCCGACUAAUUUGAAAUACUAGUGGAAAAUCUCACUAGGAUAAUUCCAUUCCUAAGAUUCGAAUCCAAGAUUCUUAAUUAAGAGUGGACGGAUACAUUAAAAAUUCGUCACUAGGUGGGAAUUAGCUAAGAAGUUUGUCGCUAAUAUGUCAAGAAAUAACUUGAAGCUAACAUGAUUUGUUGAUAAUAAUCUAUCGUUAAAUAAUAUUAGCGGCUUGUAUUUACUAUUUAUUUACUAUUUAGUGACAAAGUUAUCCAUUGCUAACAUUUUUUUAUAGUGCACUUAUCAAUCCACAACUUUUUUUGUGGAUAUGUAAGAAAAAGGAGUGCUUUGAAUUUUGGAGAGCGAAUGGUCCUUUAAAUUUGACUAAAACUAUGAAAAAAAGUGAUAUUAGCACAAACUCAUAUAUAUAGGAACAAGUUUUGUAGUUUUUGUUAUUUUUGAUUUAUUUGAUCUAGAGUGUUUUGUAACUUUUUGAAAUGUAAUUUCCGCUAAGUUUUUAUAUUUUCUUGGUGUCGAGUUCAAUUUUCUUGUUAGUGCAUAUUAUAGGACUAGUGCAAUUAUUUGCGCUUCACGCAGUUGAUCGAAAAAUUAAUAUAUUUCACUGAUUACAUAUACAAAUAUUAAUUCUAUAAAUUUUUAGUUUCUUAUUUUAAUGAAAUUGCAGAUAAUAUUUAUACUUAAAUCAGAAAAAAAAUGUAGAUCUAUAUCUUUAUCCGAAAUAAUGAUAUGGUCUUUCAUUUUUUUCUCAAUCUGUACCAUCAAAAUACUUUACAUCUUUUGAAGUAACCCUUUCAUUUGUACAUAGUUGAAUUAAAAAAAAUCAACAUGUGUUGUGAUGUAGUCAUAGGACUACUCUACCCUUAACCAGAGGUCUGGGAUUCGAGCCCUGCGUAUAAAGAAAAUCUUGUUGAGAGCAUCACCCCUAAAAUGGGUACCUGACAUCGGAUGAGAACAAAAAAAAAUUAAAAAUAAUUAAAGUAUAUGAGUGGUGAAGUAAAUAGAAUAAGAGGUUAUAUUUCAAAACAACAAUUUACAUAUUGAAUUAAAAAUAUUAUUUUUUUAUUUCAAUUUCCUUCAUCUCUUGUUUGAGUACCUAUCUUUCGUACAAACAUCAAUUCUUUAAAAAAAUUUAAUUUCUAUGUCAUGUUUUUAUUAUUACAUUUGUUUAUAUAUUUUAAAUAAUUUUUUAAGAAAUUAUGAAAAUGAAACAAAUAAGAGUUAUGAAUAAUAUUUAAAAAUAGAAGUUAUAAAUAAUUCAAAUAGCUUCAAUGUAAAAGAGGCAAAAAAAAAAAAAAAAGAUAAAAACUUUACAACAUAGUACUUAAAUAAAGAAAAAUAGAAUAUACUAAAAAUAAAAAAAUCAUUAUCUCGUAAAAUUUAAUAAAUAUUAUAAGCAAUUGCUUAUUAAUUUAGCGUUUACCGCAAGUUGAUUUUUUUAUCAAUCACACAGAAUAGAUAUAAUUAAAAUAUCAAUACUAUCAAAAUUACUUCAUGACGUGAAGAUUUCCUUGAGUAUACUUAUUUUGCAGAAGAAUACGAAUACAUAUAAAAAAAUGCAAAAACUAAGAAAACAGGGCUAAGUACAUAAAAAUCGAUUAAAAAAUUGAGAAUGAAAUAUUUCUUGUCUUCCAAUACUCCUUUUAUUUUACAUAUUAUAAUUCAUAAGGUAAAAUGAUAGAAAAGAGAAAGAAUGAGGUUCUUCAUGAAACAAAAUAUGAGUUUAUAUAGCAAAAUAGAGGAAGGUCAUGAGACUUUCAAAUUAAAGUUUGGGGGUUAUAAACAUAAAAAUUAUGAGAGUUACAAAUAUUAUUAUAGGAGUCACAAAUAUUAUGAGUUAUGAGUAAUUACUUCUUAUAUAUACAUUAAAUAUUAAAAAAACUUGAAAUAGUAGAAGAUAUUAUUGAAAAUCCUAUAUUUUUUUUUUGGUAAUCAAAAGAUGUAUUAAGAAGGAAUAGUUACAGAGGAGUUAGUCUGGUUCAAGAGCAAAAACCUUUGGGCUAUGCCCAUGAGAAAGUACUGGAACCUUUCUCACAUUAGUAGUACCAACUACAUCCGCCCAUACAUUUUGGGCUACAAAAGGGAGGAGAAACAAAAAUAUUACAAAGACUUAGUUGUUCCUUCGUUGCUCUAUGUUUAGCUAAGGCAUCAGCAACUAAGUUUUCCUCCCUAUAGCAAUGCUGAAUUAUUGUUGGUCCCAGCUUUCCUAAUAGCAACCUACAUUCAUGGAGGGGAGGGUUAUAAACAAGAUUCCCCUGCUGGAGCAUCUCAAUUAUUUCUUCAAAAUCAAUAUUAACAUGAAUUGGAAGCAAACGAUGCUGCAGUACAAGCUGAAGACCUUGAAUCAGGGCCAACAGCUCCAUCAAAUUAUUGGUAGCAUAAGAAAAAUAUUGGGCAAACCCCAGUCCCCAGUCCCCAUUGGAAUUCCUAAUCAUAUCCCAAACGCCACCAUUACCAGGGUUAUCCAAACAAGAACCAUCAGUGUUGAGUUUAUAGGUACCUCGCGGGGGAGGUGUCCAAGCAAUGGAAAUAGAAAUCCUAGUAGGGAGAGCGGUUUGGUCGGUGAGGUGAGCAAAUUCAGUAGCUUCUACAUAAGCUUGGGUGAAGGAAGGAGGUAAGGACUUAAUAUUAAAGAGGUUUAAGUUCUUGUCCUUCCAAAUAGUCCAAAGAAAAAAAGAGAAGAAGAGUAUACCAGGAGAGAGAACUAUUAAAGCUUGAAUACUGAAGCUGCUUAACAGUGUUGAACCAAUGUGCAGCAUGAAAGAAGUCUAGGGAUAAGAAAAGCUCACCCUUGUAGAGCUUGAUCAGGUUACUCCAAAAGGAGGUAGUUUGAGGACACUCAAAGAAAAGGUGAGGGAUGUUCUCCAAAGGGUGAGUGCAGGAGGGACAGAAAGGGGAAAGAUUGAUGCCUCUAUGAACAAGCGUAGCUCUAGUGGGGAAGCUAUUAUUGCUCAAAAGUCAUAGGAAACACUUAAUCUUAUUAGGAAUAGGUGUUUUCCAGAUCCAUUUCCAGUGGGAAAGAGCAGGUCCAGGCCCAUUAAUCCUGGAUAGCAGAAGGUGGUAAACAGAAGCACAAGUAAAUGAUCUAUUACCAUAAAAAAGCCAUCUAGGGGAGUCAGUGUUGAUAGAAGGGUGCGGACUAAAAGUAUUAUGAAUCCUGGCUUGAAGUAGAGCAGGGAUAUGAAAAGGAAAAGAGUCUAAGAAUAACACACCAUUAGAAAGAUAGGAGGAAGUUUAGGUGGCUUGGGGUCAGGCAAGGGGUCCUGAAUGAAAGAUAAAAGAGUAAGGAGAGAGGAAACCCAGUGAUCAUGCCAGAUAUCAAUUUUGUUCCCAUCAUAAGUAGAUCAGAAGAGAGCAUCCUUGCAUAAGGAUCAACCUCUCUUAAUAUUCCUCUAGGUAGAGGAGGAAGGAGAGGUUUUGAGGUUGGAAUUACCAUAUUUCUUAGCCAAAAGUUGGGUCCAAAGAAAGGAAGAGGAGGUAUGGAAUCUCCAAGCAAGGAUGCAAAGAAGGGAAUCAUUUUUUACAUUGGCUGUUUGGACCCCCAGACCACCUUGAUACUUAAGGAGAGUGAUAGUGUUCCAAUUAACCAGGUGCAUCCUCUUUUUAGCCUCAGUAGUUAUCCAGAUAAAGUUUCUUUGGGUUCUAUCAAGGAGCUUAUGAAGUUUUCUAGGGAAAAGGAUAAAUUGAAUGACAUGGUUGGGAAUACUGCUCAGUCUAGCUUUAGCCAGGGUGAAUCUCCCAGCCAUAUUGAGGAAUCUAGUUUUCCAACUAGCAAGUUUGGAAUGCAAGUUAUCAAGGAGAAAAUGAAAGUCAGCAAGUUUAGGAGGCCCCUGAAAUAUGGGGAAGCCCAAGUAUUUCGCAAAAGAAGCACUAGCCUUGAUACCAAAAAUAGAAGACAAAGUAGAUUGGGUAGCUGGACUGCAAUUAGCAGAAAAGAUAACCUUAGACUUACUGAGGUUGACCUUUUGGCCAGAGUGAGAACUAAAGCUAUCAAAGAUCCUGGUGAUGGUGAGACAAGAGGCUCUAUCUGCCUUAGCAAACAAGGUUAGUUCAUCAGCAAAGAUGAGGUGGGAGAAAGGGGGGCCUCUUCUACUGAUUUUAAUAGGGCUCUAUUGGAGAGUGUCAACCUCAUGGUUAAUCCUUCUAGUUAGGAGAUCCAUACAGAGAAUAAAUAUAUAGGGUGACAUUUGAUCACCCUGUCUGAUGCCCCUGGUGGGAUGGAAGGCAUCAGUUUUACCCUCAUUCACAAGAAGAAAAAUAGAGGAAGGGGAGAGACAAGACAUAAUGAGGGCAGAGAGCCUAGGAGGAAAAUUGAAAAAGAAGAGAGCUUGCCUAAUAAAGGACCAUUCAAGUCUAUCAAAAGUUUUAUUAAGGUCAAUCUUUGACAAUUAUGCUCUGAGAUCUGCCUUUUUGGGUCCUAAGGUGCCUUAAGUACUCUUGAACAAUAAUAAGAUUGUCAGAGGCCCUCAUCUUAGAGAGGAAGCUAGCCUGAGUAAGACCAAUGAUGGCUUGGAGGUGAGGCUUAAUUCUAUUGGCAGUAAUCUUACUGACAAUUUUGUACUAACUAUUGCAAAGGACAAUAGGUCUGAAGUUUCUAAGAGAAGAGGCAUUCUUACACUUAGAAAUCAGGCACAAAUAAGUAAAAUUCACCUUAGCAUCCAUGGUAUAGGUGGUGAAGGUGUGGGUGAAAAAUGCAACAAACAAAGGGCCCAAAGAUUCCCAAUAUUUUUGGUACAUGGAAAAGGUGAAGACCAUCAGGACUAGAAACUUUUGUAGGUUUGAAUGAGAAGAUAACAUUUUUUAUUUCAGCAUAAGAAGGGAGAGAGUCCAUGGCUAAGUGUCUAGAGGUGUUUAUAGAGCCCAUAUUGGAGGAAUUUGGCUGACAAGCUUGGAAACAACAGGUAAGAGAAGUAGAGAAAAGGGACGAAUAGAAGGAGAGGAUAGUAUUCUUGAUCUCUUGUUGAUUGUGUAUCCAGACACCAUUCUCAUUGAGGGAUUGAAUACCAUUUUUCCUCCUCUUGUUAAUGGUAGUGGUAAAGAAUUUGGUGUUCUGAUCCCCCUCUAUAAGUCAGUUAAUUCUAGAUUUAAGAAUCUAGAAAUCAGAUUUAUCCCUGAGAAGGGACUUGUAGUCCUGAAGAAGCUAUUGCUCAAGGGUAUGUAAAAAGAAGCCGGUAGAGAACUUAGGAGACUUUUGAAUCUCAGCUAGUCUAGCAAGAAUAUGCUUUUUUCUAUGGAAGAGGUUACUAAAAACCUCUCUGUUCCAGGUUCUAGCCUUCUCCUCAAAGUCCAAGAUGACAUCAGUGAGGUCAGAACCAACAGGGAAGUAUUAGCUUACUAAGUUAGGAAAGUCACUAUGGUUACACCACAUGAAUUCAACUCUAAAAGGCUUCAGGAUAUGCAGGAGAGGCAUAGAGAGUUGAAGAAGCAAGGGACAGUGAUCUGAAUGGGUCUUAGGAAAAUGUAAAACAUAGGAGUUAAGGUAUAAUUGAAUCCAGUUAUCAGUAGCUAGACACCUAUCAUGCCUCUCCAUAAUAAGGGACUGUCUAUUCCUAUAUCUCAUAAUGGACCAGGUAAACUUACUGUCCCUAAAGCCUAGGUCUAUGAGCCCACAAUAGUUAAUACAUCUCCAAAAAGCAUUAGCCCUAUGCAUAUUGAUACAGUUUCCCCCAAACUUCUCAGAAGUACUCAGGAUCUCAUUAAAAUCACCACUUACAAGCCAAGGAAUACUGUUAUCAUGAUUAAGAGAGUCAGCCAUGCAACUGAGAUGGUCCCAGAGAUUAUGUUUGAGUAAGACAUUAGUGCUAGCAUAAACUAUAGAAAGAAUCCAGGAGGUGGGAGGAUUACUAACCUGGACAGUAGCAUGAAUAGCCUGAGAGGAAAUAGAAAUGCUAGUGAGGGAAAUGGUGUCCUCCCUCCAAAAGAUAACAAUACCCCCAAAGUGUCCAGUAGCACUGGAUUGGAGGAAAAUCCUACAUUUUACUUUUAGCUCAAUAUUAUUUUCUCUAUCUAAAGAGCAUUUAUAUCAAAUAAGAACAAUGCAAAAUAUGUCACAAAUAAGCACAAACUAAAAUAAAUUGAAUGAUGUUAUUUAAAAGAAUAAUUAUACCUUUCGAUUCUCCAUUACUACAUAUAAUAAUUAUAUAUUAAUAUAAUAACUUAUAAAUAAUAAAUUAUUAUGGUUAUUAACAAAUUUAAUGAAACUUAAUAAAUGGGAUGAUUAAACUUUGAAUUAUUUGGAUGAAUUAUGCAACUAAUUCAAUUAAUAGCAUUGAUAAUUUAAUAGCAUUAAUAACAAAUUGAUUAAAUAUGGUUAUCUUUAAUAUUCUAUGUUUUAUAGUGAUUUUUUCAUUCUUAUAAAAUUAAGAAAAAAGUUUAAAAAAAAUCACAAAAAAGAUAAAUAUGAUUCUAGGCCUUAAAGUGCGCCAUGUCAGCAAAUGUUUAAUCCUCCUUUAUACGUAAUUUUUUAAACUUGCUCUUUAAAAAUACUUAAAAAUUUAUUUUAAACUUAAAAAAUAUUUAAAAUAAGUCAAUUCAAAUAGACUCUAAAUGACCUAUUAAAAUUGACAAAACUAUAUUAACAGUGAAAAGUCUUACAAGCUUAAUAAAUAUAUUUUUCACCGUUACUCAUUUGAAAAUGAAACUGAAACAUCAUAUAUAAUAUUAAUACCUCCAACUUCAUUCCAACGAAGUGUAUUAAUCACUACUUAAAUGCUUCAAUUAUUAUUUUAUGGUGAUUAAAAGAAAAAACUCUUCACCUCCUUACGUUAUUUAUAACACCAGUAAUUAAAAAAAUAUUAAAAGUCUCAUCAAAUUUUACUUUACAAAUUUUAAAAGUCCAAAAUGCACACACACAAAAAAAAAACGUCGCUUCUCAUUCAAACAUAUAGUCAACAAAAUAUAUGCGAUAACAUUUUGAAAAUUAUUUUAUAUUAAAAUAAUUAUAAUUGAAUGAGUACAUUAAAUGCAUUAAGUAAUUAUAAAAAUUUAUUCUAAAUGGAAAGGUGAAAAAAAUUGGAAAAAAAAGGAAAAAUUAAUGUAAAUGAGAACUUGAUAGGUACAAAGAAGGAAAAAAGAGAAAUUUAAGGAAUCUUAUAAAAAGAAUAAUGAUUAGGUUAAUUAAGGGGAGAAAAAGUGAUAGUAAAUUAACGUAAUAGAAGGGUAAAAAAAAGGCAUUAGAAAAAGUAAUUAAUUAUAUUAAUUAUUAUUAACACUAAUAAGUAAUAUUUUGUUUUCUUGCAUUAAAUUUAGUUUUCCUAAGAAUUUAUUUAAUUUUUCCUCAGAAAAAUUGAGAAUUUUUUUUAAAAUUGACAAAAAGAAUAAACAUUAAUGUUGAUCAUAAAAGGGGCCAAUCACCUCUUCUUUUUCCUGUUUUUUUUUUUUUUUAAUUUCUUCAUCUUCUUCUUCUUCUUCUUCUUCUUAUUAUUAUUAUUAUUAUUAUUCUUAUUAUUAUUAUUAAUAAUAAUAAUAAUAAUAAUAAUAAUAAUAAUAAUAUGAAAUGAAUUAAAUAUUAAAAAAAUCAGAAAAGUAAACGAUAUAAUCAAAUUCAAAUCACAACAUUCCUUUUUAUUUUUUCGUUAUUCCAUACUUUUUUAUUUUUCUUUAUUUUUCACUAUUUGUAUAAUUUUUCAUUAUUUCUAUAAAUUCAAGAUGACCAUAUAUGGAAUAAAACAAGUAGUUUAUUCUUUGAAAUCUUUCUUAGAAAAAUUGUAACAAAAGUGAGCCAUUACUGUGCAAUUCCUAAGAUUAUGGGAUUCUCCUAAAUAUGAAUAGAAUCUUCCUAAAAAAAUAGCACAUCAAAAGAUAAAAUACUCAAUAAAUUAAUAAUAAAUUUAAGCUAAUAAUCAUGCUUCUUCUUCUUCUUGUUUCUUCCUCUGCUUCUGCUUCUUCUUGUUUCUUCUUAUUUUUUUCUCCUUGUUUCCUCUUCUACUUCUAUUUCGUUAUUCAACUUCUUGUUGCUUUUGCUUCUUGUGUACCUUCUUAUUUUUGCACUCUCGGAUAUCAAUAAAAUUUAAAUGCUUAGUGAAAGUCUCAUUCUAUUAUAUUUCUAUAAAUUCAUAUUGCAUAAAGCUCAUAUUUGAUACAUGAGAGUCACUAUAGAUGCAAUAACAGGAGGAGGACUACUUGGUACUACAUCAAUUACAAGUGAUUGUGAAGAAAAGGAAUCAUCCAUAUUUUGAACAUUGGAUGAUUUUGUUGAUGCUUUCAUCAUUGUUUUCUUGAUAUAAUUGUGUAGGGGUUCUUCCAGAAUUUGCAAUAUAAAGAAUUUGUAGAAUGUGUUUGGUUCUAUGACCUUUCAAAUCUUCAGAAACUGUAAUGGAAGAAUUAAUGUGUAAUUAAUUUUUCACACAAAUGAAUAAUAUAAGAAAGAGGGAAAUUUUUCAAGAAAAAAACAGUAGAAAAAGUUUUGAAAAAUGAGAAAAAAAGAUAAAUAUGAUUUUAGGCUUUAGAGUGCGCCACAUCAGCGAUCUCAUAAUUCUCUCUUAUAUAUUGAUUUGAUGACACUUUCUUGGUGUUUAUGAUUGCCCCCUCNNNNNNNNNNNNNNNNNNNNNNNNNNNNNNNNNNNNGCUGUUUCCUAUCAAAUCUAACGAACAUAACAAAUAAAUAUUUGGAGACUGACAGUAUUAACUGUAAAACUGUUUUGUAUAUACUUGCUUAUCUAAACCUACCAUCAAUCAUAAGAGAUCAUUUAUGUCAUCUUUUUAACUUUGAACUUACAAAAUUUUACAGGUAAAAACUGUUUUAUGUGGGUUGGGCCAAAGCCUAUGGUAUUAGUAUGGGACCCUGAGGUAAUAAGAGAUGUGUUUAACAAACAUGCUCUUUACCAAAAGCCCAAAUCAACUCCCUUAACCAAGUUGCUAGCACAAGGAAUUGGAAGCUAUGAAGAGGAUAAGUGGGCCAUGCACAGAAAAAUCCUCAAUCCUGCUUUCCAUACGGAGAAGAUAAAAGGUAUUUUUCACCACCACCCCUCUAACAAAAAUGAUCUAAGAUAAAGUUUAAGUAAUAUAUAUAAUAAUGUCUCAUCCUUAACCGUUUAAGUUUUUAAAUGAAAUAAGCACAUGUAUUAUGGUAGAAUAGGCAUAGACUAGGACUAAAAUCUCAUUGUCACCCAAAAACUUUAGAUAUUUACACGCAGAGGCGGAGCUAGAAGUCAGAGAGGUUCAUCUGAAUCCUUUUUUAUAGAAAUUUACAAAUGUAUAUAUUCGGUCAAACUUAUUAUUUUUAUUUAUAGUAUGUGAUGAAUCCUUUAGUUUCUUGGUUGUGUUCAUUUCCUUAUAUUUUCAAUUCCUUUCGUGAAAAUCCUAGUUUCGCCACUAUCUACAUGUUUGGCCUAUGAGGAGAAAAGAAAUCAGGCAUACAAACGAAUGUUGGAUAUAUAAUUGACAUAAUAUAUAAACACAAACUCGAACUUGGUCUUAACUACCAAGUAAACACCCCAACUUUGAGCAUGCACAUCAUCUAGACACCUCAAUUUGUCUCAAUCAUAUCAAUUAAUAAAGCUUACAAAAUGAUCAUCUAGACACCUACCAAAUUUAUGUGCCACGUCGGCGUCUGGUGUCCACGAGACACAAGAAAGUGUUUAGUUUCCGGUUGCGGAAGUGUUUAAAUGUGCACUCUCAAAGUUAAAAAUGCUUAGUUACCAACCAAGGCCAAGUAUCUGUUUAUGUAUUAUACCUUAUGCUUUUAAAUAAGAGAGUCACAAAAUUCAAUAAAAGACCUCACCCCCGAGACAAUACAAUGAAAUUUAUUUCCACUUGUAUUGAUUAUCACAAAUCCAUGAUGUCAACUCUACUUUCCCGGAACUCCACUUGUGGGAUUACACUAGAUAUUUUGUUGUAACUCUGCUUUCAUUCUGUUUUCUUUUUUACAUUUUUGUUCCUUUCUAGCUUGCAAAUUUAACCCAAGUUUGCAGGAGUGAAAUUUUCUGCAAGAUGCAGUUUGGUAGCACUAAUGUGUGGCUUACAAAUGUGUAGAAUAUGUUUUCAGCAGUUCACUUGAGCUGCAGUGAAAUGGUGAGUCAAUGGGAGGAGGCUGUCUCAAUGGAAGGAACAUCCUGCGAAGUCGAUAUAUGGCCUUACCUUCAAAGAUUGACUAGUGAUGUCAUUUCUCGCACAGCCUUUGGGAGCAACUAUGAAGAAGGUCGAAAGAUAUUUGAGCUUCAAAAAGAACAAGCUGAGCAUGUCAUUGAAGCUUCUCGCACCUUAUAUAUUCGAGGAUGGAGGUAAUAAAAUGUCGUUUUCCUUGAGUUUAAGUUGUGUAUAUUGGCAGGGUAUAAUAUUUAUUACGUUAAGUUACCUCACCACGAAGAAUCAUGAAUUUAUUUUUGAAGUUCAUCGCUAAUCCAUCUCUAAUUAGCACGCAGCUAACAUGUUUAUAGCUAAUCCAUCAUUAAAUAGAAUUAGCGAUAGAUUUUUGUUGUUUAGAGCAGAAGUUAACCGUUCUUAAUUCCAUUUAUUUUUGUAAUGCUUGUAAUAACCAGUUAAUAUACAGUACUAAUAGAGUAGAAAAUCUUUACGCGUGUAUAUAACCCUCCUUUCCUAUGUCUAUUUCCAAAUAGCUUCAAGAGAAGAAGUUAAAGUAGUGAUAAUUGAUGAUGAUAUACAUGUUUUUGUGUGUUAAACUAAUGUAGGUUUUUGCCAACUAAGCAAAACAGAAGGAUGAAGGAGAUUGACAAAGAAGUUCAAGGACUGAUUAGGGGAAUCAUCGAUAAAAGAGUGAAGGCAAUGAAAGCAGGGGAGGGCAAUGCCGACGACUUAUUAGGCAUAUUGUUGGAAUCCAACUUUAAAGAAAUUGAACAACAUGGCAGUAAGGAUUUCGGUAUGACUACACGAGAGGUCAUCGAGGAGUGUAAAUUGUUCUAUUUUGCUGGGCAAGAGACAACCUCUGUAUUGCUUGUAUGGACAAUGAUUUUGUUGAGCAGGUAUCCAGACUGUCAAGUUCGUGCUAGAGAAGAAGUUUUGCAAGUCUUUGGUGAUGGCACGCUGGAAUUUGAUGGAUUAAACCGCUUAAAAACUGUGAGUUAGGUCAACAUUUUUUUACCUUCUUUUACGAAUCCAGUUGAAUCUAAUACUUCUUAAAAUUUUGCCUUAUUUCUCACACACAUAAAUAUAUGUAAUAUGUCGUGUGUCAAAGAAAUUAGAUUCAGCAUGCUAAUCCAAUGUUGAACUCUUUUCAUAGGUGACAAUGAUUUUGCACGAGUCGUUAAGGCUGUACCCACCAGUUGGAGCACUUAAUCGAAAGAUUAAAACCAAUACCAAGGUAGGGGAACUAAGUUUACCAGCUGGAGUGAUGCUGUCUUUGCCAAUACUUUUAUUGCAUCAUGACAAGGAAAUAUGGGGCGAUGAUACGAUGGAGUUUAAGCCAGAGAGAUUCAGUGAUGGCGUUUCAAAGGCAACAAAGGGCCAAAUGACGUUUUUCCCAUUUGGCGGGGGACCUAGGAUAUGCAUUGGGCUAAACUUCGCAAUGAUAGAAGCCAAGAUGGCCUUGGCUAUGAUUCUACAACGCUUCACGUUUGAACUAUCUCCCUCUUAUACACAUGCGCCGCUGGCCGCAAUAACAAUGCAACCCCAAUAUGGUGCUCCUCUUGUCUUGCACAAACGACUAUAAAGAGAGAAUAAACUUUGCUUAUUUAUGUCACUUUCCUCUUUGCUUGUUUGAAAAAGAAUAACAUUUUUUUUAUUUGAAAGUUUUUUAAUUUGAAACUUCUCAUUUUAUGGUAAAUUAAAUGAGAUGAACUUUUGUACCCAUUAUAAUAUCAUGAUAUAUGUAAAAUUACAAGUACUAAUUAAGAGUACUUUUGGUAUCGUCUAAUUGUCUUUCUUUAUUUUGCACCAACUAUAAGAAGAUAUUGGACAUUCAAAAAAAAUGUUGUAUGGAUUCAUUUGUAAAUUGUAAGUUUACAUAAAGAGCAUAUUUGAUCAUUUGAUCAUACCCCAUAUUAGUAACCUGUCUCUAGUGUAGAGCAUGUCUUGGAUUGUGAUCUUAAAACCAUUUUUCAAACCGUUUAUUGAUUCUUUUAUUUUCGCUCUGUUUCAAUUUAUUUGAAGUACUUUUUAUUUUUAAUUUGUUUCAAUAAGAAUGUCUCUUUCCUUUUUUUUGAUAAUUUUUUAAUUUUAAUUUUCUACAUGACAUGUUUAAAAGCAAAAGAUGUGAUGCAUUCUACAUAUCUUUAGCUUAAAACAGUAAAUUUAAACGUCUUCUUUACUUUCUUAAACUCCGUAUCAAGUUAAAAUCAAUCAAAUAAGACAAACAAAUUAAAAUAAAGAGAGUAAUUUACUAACAUAUAAUAUUCAGAAAAGGGUCAACAAUACCCCUAAAAUAUUCGAAAUGCAGUAAAAAUAACCUCCAAUUGUUUUUUAACUCAAAAAUAUCCCUCCGUUGAAUUUUUGGCUAAAAAAUACCUAUCUCUCUAAUGGAAUGACACUAAGAAUGCCACGUGUACUAAAAAUGUCACAUGAACAGUCCACGGAGAAAAUCACCCCAUUUAAUUGUAACCCCCCGCAUUUUUUUUGGACUAGAAAUUGAAGCGUCGUUCCUACGCGUAUUGAUCCGAACUAGAUGAUUCUUUGUUAAUAUAUGUGUGGUGAUAAAUCCUACAGUGUGAAAAUACCUUUGGAUAUUAAUUGAGGUUACAAAAAUCCCCUAACUCAAAGACGAGUUGAAAACAAUUCCAUCGAGUACGUUUUAGUGGACACCUCAACUUGGGUCAACUUUUGUCGAGCAUAACUUAUGUUAUAUAAUGAAAUGGGUGGCCUUCUAUUUAUCAAAUGAAAUUCCUUUGAGUCCUCUUUCCAAUGCAAUUGAUUUUGUCGAAAUCCAACAUCGGAGUAAAAAGUUAUACCCAAUUUACUUCAGCAUGUCAGUCUGUCAAACCGAGGGACUGCUGCGGAGUUUUUGAUUUCCUUAGGGGUAUUUUGAUAUUUUUCAUCAUCCCAAACUUCUUCCACACGAUUUAAAUCGUCCAAAACACUCUAUAAUACAUUUCUUUUAUCAGUUUUAAUAUCUCAAUUUCUCUUCUCUCUCAAGAGUAAAAUGAAAACUAGGCUUUCUUUCAAGAUCAAGAAUCAAUCCCGUAAGUCCAAGAUUUCUAAAGAACAAAUCAAGAUUUGAGUUCUACUCUUCAAACCUUGUAAUCUAAGGUACGUGAAAUUUUCCUAAAUCUACAUGGGCAUGGUAAAUUCUUAUUAAUCAUGUUAAAGUUUUAGAAAUUAUGAAUUUACAAAAAGGGGGUUUUGAAUUUAUAAUUAGAUUCAUGCUUUUAAAGUUUUUGAUGAUGUUAAUUUGGUCUUGAGGCCUUUCCCCCAAAUCUAAUUUAUAAUCAUGUUUAAGUAGAUAUAUGUAUGAGUUUGAUGAGUUUGAAUUAUGAAUUGAGAGCAUGAACUAUUUGAAAUCUCUCCCUUAUUUACAAGUCUCUUAACUUCGUAAGAUAUGAUGUGUUCGAAAUGUGAUAUUGGAAAUAUAAUUCAAUAUAAAAGCCUUGACUUUAUUUAUGACUUGAUUAUGAUUUUUUAAUUGAAGAGAGGGGGUUUUACAUGUUGGUAAGUGCUGAAUAUAUAUAUAUAUAUAUAUGAAAAAAAUUUCACGGGUUAUUGAAACUCAUGACCAACACAUGUUUGUUGAAAUGAUUGAAAAGAAUGACCUUUGCGUAAUUUGAUAAAUGUUUUGAAAGAAUGAAUCUUUCGGAAUUGUUUAAAGUAUGGUAGUCUAACCUUUGUAUUUUGAAAGAGAAAGCUGUAAAGGAUAUUUUAUGGCUCAGAAUUAUGACUUGCAAGUCUUGGUAUGACGAUAUCAAAUCAGAUAAAGUCAUGAUAAAACUCAGAACAAGAUACAGAUUUCAUUUUAGAUUUCAGAUUUUGAAUUCAAAAAGAUGCAUGUUUAGAAUGGGUUAAAAACUGGGCACUAAGAGAGUUAGGUGGUUAUCCGAAGAAGGUAUGAGUCAUAUGAUUCAUUGUCCAAAACCGUGUUUCGUCGAUACGAGUAUAUUAUUAUACGCUGGCCUACUACCCUGGGGAGUUUCAUAUUUAGAUACUUCAACCCGCGCGGCAAACUUAGGUUGGGCGCUUGUCUGUCGAGUUAAUGACGGAUCCCAUAUUUCCCAUGGGAAACUUUCAGAUAUGUAGGGUAUACCACUUACCUCAGAAGUAAAAAAAUAAAGAAUGGUUUUACAUCUAUAGAUUUGCAUUGAAUGAUUAUUUUAAGUUGCCCAUGUAUUUUAAAUUAUUUCUUGCUUAACAUUUUUAUGAAAUGCUCUCACCUAUGUUGUAUAUAAAAGUACAUUAUUUUAGAUUGUUCUACUUACCAGUACAUCUGUACCCCUCCAUCUUAGGAUCUGAGAAACAGUCUCGGGGUCCAGUUCAACAAUAGGUUGAGUGCGUUGGAAGUUGCAAUUAGUGAGCCUCCCUUACUUUGGAAGGACUGUAUUAGAACUUGUUAUUGUUAGUUUAUUUUGAUUCAUGGCCCAACUGGGGGCUUAUCCCAGAUUUCAGACAAAUGUCAUUUUUAGUUGUUAGAGAUUUCGCAGACUGAUGUUAGACGUUGUUUAGAGGUUUAUGUUUUCCAUUCCAGAUUGUUCAAUUGAAUUAUGAUAUCGACCAUGAUUCCAUUUUAUUUUGUAUUUCCGCAGUUCCUCUUUGUAAAUGAAUGGUGUAUUUGAUUGCAUCUUAAAAGGGCUCUUGGGCCUUCAUGGUUUGGGAUCUCUGUCACGGCCAGGGCCCCGGUUUGGGUCAUGACAAACUUGGUAUCAGAGAAUGGUUCAUGGUCCCAGGGUGUCUGCAAAAUCACGUCGGGUAGAGUCUUGUUUAUGGGUGUGUAGCACGCCACACUGAUAAAUAGAAGGCUAUAAGGCAUUUAGGAAUGUCUCUUUUUCUUCAUGUUCUAGUUCGUGUUAUGGAGUCAGAAUGUUCCUCUUUCAUACUCUAAUUCAUGCUAUGGUGUCGCUUAUACUAAAUAAAAGUUAUCCUAAUUGUUUCCUUACUCUGGUGUUCCCAGAUAAUGCUUUCAGAUUUACUAGCAGAAACUUCAGAAGUCACAUAAAGGGCUUGAGAGAAGCUCCCUAGUGUGUCAUAAGUCCCUUAAGUUUAAAGUUAUGUCCUCAUUCUUAUGAGGCGUUCAGUUAAGACACAGUAAGAUGUGUAUUCUUAAGUCAUUGAAUAUUGUGUGUUAAGUUUCUAUCUCUUGUAAUCUUGUUAUCAUUGUGUUGUUGAAGCUAAUCUAGUGAAGCCGUGUGGGGCUCUUUCAAUUCACUAGCAUAGUUGCUUUGUUAUUCAUCUCAUUUUCCUAUUUAAAACACAAAAUCAAAGUCUAGUGAAGCCGUGUGAGGCCUAUUUCGAGUCACUAGCAACUUGUUGUUCAUCUUGUUGUUCUUGUGUUGGUUGGAAACUAAGGGUUUAGAGGUGUAGUGACAAGAAAAAUGGUAAGGGUGAUUUAUUGAAUAUAUAUAGCUGAAUUUUUUUGCAUAUGAUUGAGUUAGUAAUGAAGUAAUAUAUCCUUGUGUGUUAGGUUAGUAGAAGGUAGAGAAGGAGUUAUUGGUUAAGGUAAAUUAUUUUUUUGCUUAAAGUAUGAAAAGAGUUGUUGAUAGUGUCGGUUGUGCUAGAAAAGUAAAGGUUAUUGGUGAAAGUACUUAGUGGAUGAAUGCUAUUAAUUUAGGCUUCCUUGAGGUUGCAAGAGGGAGUUUAGUUGAAACUUAUAGAGCUAUGAAAGAAGUUUGGGCGUAUAGAUAGGAAAAUAGUAAUAAUGUGUAGAAGGAAGAUGUGUUAAUGGAUUGCAAAUAAGAUAGGCCAUAUGAUUAUGAUCGAUUAUUGUUGUUAUGAGAUUCUAGUGGGCUAGUGUUUCUCGAUGUCUUAUUCUAUAGCUUCCUAGUGAGAAUUAUAUGUAAGGUGGGUUAUUAUAUAAGAUUAAGGUUGACCAUGCCUAUUAUAUGAAUUUACCCCCUUGGCCCUCUUUUCUUUAGUGGUUACAAACCAGUACUUCAUAUGAAAAGGUAUGAAGUGGAUCUUAAGCUAAUAUAGUGGUGUCAUGGAGGGGAUUGUGAUUGUAGAUAGUAGUUAAAUGAAAUGAGUAUUUGGAGUUGAUUUCUCAAUUUGAUGGACUGGUAUAUUAUGUUGCGUUCUUUACUUUAUUUGUGGUAGAUGUUUGAUGCUAGAUUAUAGGCUUGAAUUGUAGAUGUAGAAUAUGAUGGUAAGAAUAGUAUCUUAUGAUUAAUGAUGUAUGUUUUAUGGGAAUGAAUUACUAGGCUUGAUAUGAUUUGUGAAAAAGCCCAGGUUAAUACUUGAUAAAAAGUUUAAGUGGUAAUUGUGAGAUAUAUGUAUAUAUGAGGACUAGUGUUAAAAUGAUGAUUUUUGGGUGAGUCAUAAAGUGGAUAAGGGCGUAAGUAUAUAAGCAUAAGUUGCACCCCCUCCCCGGUAGUAUGACAUUACUCGUUAGGUAAUAUUUUAUGAUAUAAGUUAUACGAUUAACGGUCUAAUGUUAGAAAGUUAGUAGUGGAGAGUGGAUUUUUAUGUGAUAAGGAGUGAGGUAGUAUAUGCUCUUGGGACUACGAGUUGUGAGUUGAUGAUGAUAGAGGAUAGUGAAAAGUAAUGCCCUCAGAGUAUACUUAAAAAGAAAAAGUGAAGCAUUUAUGUGUAUAAGUGUUUUGCGUACCUAGUUUCUAUUCUUGAAAAUUAUGGUAUGGAGAAGUUUGGGAAGUUAUGGUAUAGCAUUAUUUAGAGUUGAAUUGAGAAAAUAUGAGUGGGCAAUAUGCCCCUUUGUUAUAGUUUUACAAAGUUUGUUAAUUUGUAAGUUAUGUGAUUAGAGGUGUAAUGCUAGUAUUCUAAGGAGUUGAAGAAGAGGUGUUGAGUGAUUCAAAGCAUAGACGCCCAUGCCCAUAAUGAUGUUAGUCAUGAGUUAUGAUUUUGGAGUUAUAGGAAAUCAUGAUUAGUAUCCUUGAGGAGGAAAUGUCCCAGAGAGGAUUUAGUGUCUUUAUAUUAAAAAAAUGAAUGAGAAGAGUUGUAUUCAUGUAUAUGUCGAUAUCCCUUGGUGAUAAGGAGUGUGAAAGCGUACACUCAUGGGAGUGGGGGUUGUAGAGUGAUCGCUAUAGCGAAAGUUAAUAGUAACAUUUACAGAAAACCAAGGCCUUCGGGGUAUAGAUCAUUAGGGAGAAUUAGAGUUUAAGUAUAUGGUGAUGUCUCUUUUAUGUUGAGAGUUAUGACUUUGAUCUAAGGGGGAGAUAGUGAGUUAAGGUAGUUUUUCAAAUUUUCUCAUUGUGACAAGUUAAUGAAGAGUCAUGAUGAACCUACUCCUAUUCAAGAAUAUUCCUCCUAUUUCAGUUUAGGAGUUCAUUCUACCAAGGUCUUAUGAAUUCAACUCCUACCAAUAUCUAAGGUUUGAGUUCUCUAUGUAUGUCAUGCCUUAACCCAACGUCCAAACAAGAAGAAAUAAUGUUCCUCAGUGACCUAAUACAUAUCCAAGUCAUAUGUUAUGUUGCUCAUGAUCCAAACCUAUGUCUCACAACAUGCUUGGUCAUAAGGAAAUUUGUUCCUGUAUGUCACUGAAUCAUUUUAUGUUGGAAUUAGCCAAAGUGGUAAAGUUGUGCGAACUUAGUACUAUUUCAGAUCUGAAAAUGAGAAGCAAUAGCUUCAAGUAUUCACCUUUGUCUCAAUCAUUGACUUUAUGAAUUCGACCUUUAUGUUAUACAAAUCAUAAGAUUUGUGCCCCCAUAUUUCUCACCGUCGUCUGUCCUAAGAAUCAUGUUGUGUUGUGGUUGUGCCGAACGACUCUAUGCUUACGAUUCAAACACCUGAUAUCUGAAGCACCCUGUCUCUCUUCUAUUGUAUCUUUACUUUAUGUCCCUCCUUGAGUAAUAUUAAAAGUAUAAGCUAUGAAUUGAUAAGUGUUACUUCCAUUCAUGAUGUUUAUGCUCGGGUCCCUUAAUGACCUUCUGUAUGGUAGUAUGAUGGUGGUUGUGGAAGCGUGGUGAUGUGUUAUGUAGAGGAGUAGAUGUUCUUAAAAAAAAUUGGUGUGAAUUCUCGGGAUAAGGUUAUAGGUGAAAGGGGAAAAGAAGGAGAUGAACUUUUGUUAUGUGGAAAAAGUCAGGAAGGAGAUAUAUGAAGAAAAUUUUUGUGAAUGUGUUUGAAUUUGCUGAUCUUAGUGGGGGGAAAUCCAUGAAGUGGGUGUAGUAAUGAUAGGCUUGAAUGUUGAGAUUGAUAAAAACUCAACCCAUGUACUAUGCGGUUAGUAUUCCUUAAAUUAAAACCCGAAGGUGUUUGACGAUACUGAUAAGGUAAGGUAACGUUCUUAAUGGGAUGUAAAGUACAAGGUCCUAUAGCUUAAGUUAGCACCUUUUUACUCUAAGUUAGGCUUCAAUAUAGCAAUACUAAGUAGUGGGACUCAAAUUCUUGUGGCUAGAAGUGUGGUCAGGGAUUUGUAAGUUGAAAAGUGUGAAGUAUGUAAUUUAUUGUUUGGGGCGUAGACAAAUAGUGUCUACAAGUUUAAGUAUUUUCAUUGUAUCUUGUAAGAUGGAGAAUGUUCAUAUUCGUAUGCCCCACGAGAAUCUUAUCUCAUGUAUUGUACCAAUCUUAACAUGGUCUAUGAUCAUCAAAUAAACCCCUACCAUGUGUGGUGCUGAUGAUGAUUCAUAGAACUCAUGUGCAAGAUCAUCCCUAUGUAAAUUCUCAUUGCCUCAUAUUUCGUGCUUUCACGUUUCGUUAGGGGUUAUCAUGAAGCUUGUUUGAUUCCUUUGCAUAUUUUAUCGAGGGAAAAUGUUCAAUGUGAGACUGCGCUCUUUAUUCAACACUCUUAGAGCUUCAAAAGGUCUCUACCCAUCAUUCGGGGACGAAUGAUCCCAAAGGGGAGAUAAUGUAACACCCCGCAUUUUUUUCGGACUAGAGAUCGAAGUGUCGUUCAUACACGUAUUGACUCGAACUAGAUGAAUCUUUGUUAAUAUAUGUGUGAUGAUAAAUCCUACAGUGUGGGAAUACCUUUGGAUAAGAAUUGAGGUCACAAAAAUCCCCUAACUCAAAGACGAGUUGAAAACAAUUCCAUUGAGUAUGUUUUAGUGGACACUGCAACUUAGGUCAAAUUUCGUCAAGCAUAACUUCUGUUAUAUAAUGAAAUGAGUGGCCUUCUAUAUAUCAAAUGAAAGGUCUUUGAGUCCUCUUUCCAAUGCAAUUAAUUUCGUCAAAAUCCAACAUCAGAAGAAAAAGUUAUACCCAAUUUACUUCAGCAUGUCAGUUUGUCAAACCGAGGGACUGCUGCGGCGUUUUUGAUUUACUUGGGGGUAUUUUGGUAUUUUUCGUCAUCCCAAACUUCUUCCACACGAUUUAAAUCAUCCAAAAUACUCUAUAAUCCAUUUCUUUUAUCAGUUUUAAUAUCUCAAUUUCUCUUCUCUCUCAAGAGUAAAAUGGAAACUAGGCUUUCUUUCAAGAUGAAGAAUCAAUCUCGUAAGUCCAAGAUUUCUAAAGAACAAAUCAAGAUUUGAGUUCUACUCUUCAAACCUUGUAAUCUAAGGUAUGUGGAGUUUUCCUAAAUUUACAUGGGCAUGGUAAAUUCUUAUUAAUCAUGUUAAAGGUUUAGAAAUUAUGAAUUUACAAAAAGGGGGUUUUAGAUUUAUAAUUAUAUUCAUGCUUUUAAAGUUUUUGAUGAUAUUAAUUUGGUCUUGAGGCCUUUCCCCCAAAUAUGAUUUAUAACCAUGUUUAAGUAGAUAUAUGUAUGAGUUUGAUGAGUUUGAAUUAUGAAUUGAGAGCAUGAACUAUUUGAAAUCCCUCCCUUAUUUACAAGUCCCUUAACUUCUUACGAUAUGAUGUAUUCGAAAUGUGAUAUUGGAAAUAUAAUUCAAUAUAAAAUCCUUGACUUUGUUUAUAACUUGAUUAUGAUUUUUGAAUUGAAGAGAGAGGGUUUUACAUGUUGGUAAAUGCUGAAUAUAUAUAUAUGUGUGUGUGUGUGUGUUUGGUAAAGGUUUAUUUAUGGUGUCCUUAUCUAAAGUUUUAGGGAUCUAGAGAAGGUGGAGCUGGGUUAGUUAGAGAAGACAAUUUUAGGCAUGGGGUAUUACAUGAUAAAACUCAGAACAGGAUACAGAUUUCAUUUUAGAUUUCAGAUUUUGAAUUCAAAAAGAUGCAUGUAUAGAAUGGGUUAAAAACUGGGCACUAAGAGAGUUAGGUGGUUACUCGAAGAAGGCACGAGUCGUAUGAUUCAUUGUCCGAAACUGUGUUUUGCCGAUACGAAUAUAUUAUUAUACGCUGGCCUAGUGUCCUGGGGCGUAUCAGAUUCAGAUACUUCAACCCUUGCGGCAAACUUGGGUUGGGGGCUUGGCCGUCGAGUUAAUGCCGGAUCUCAUAUUUUCCAUGGAAAACUUUCAAAUAUGUAAGGUGUACCACUUACCUCAGAAGUAAAAAAAUAAAGAAUGAUUUUACAUCUACAGAUUUGCAUUGAAUGAUUAUUUUAAGUUACCCAUGUGUUUAAAAUUAUUUCUUGCUUAACAUUUUUAUGAAAUGCUCUCACCUGUGUUGUAUAUAAAAGUACAUUAUUUUGUAUUACUCUACGUACCAGUACAUCUGUAUUGACCUCCCUUCCAUCUCAGGAUCUAAGGCACAGGCUCGGGGUCCAGUUCAGCAAUAGGUUUGAGUGCGUCGGAAGUUGUAAUUGGUGAGCCUCCCUUAUUUCGAAAGGCCUGUAUUAGAACUUAUUAUUGUUAUUUCAUUUUGAUUCAUGGUCCGAUUGAGGGCUUAUCCCAGAUUUUAGACAAAUGUCAUUUUCAGUUGUUAGAGAUUUCGCAGACUGAUGUUAGACGUUGUUUAGAGGUUUAUGUUUUCCAUUCCAGAUUGUUCAAUUGAAUUAUGAUAUCGACCAUGAUUCCGUUUUAUUUUGUAUUUCCGCAGUUCCUCUUUGUAAAUAAAUGGUGUAUAUGAUUGCAAGUUAGAAGGGCUCUUGGGCCUUCAUGGUUAAGGAUCCCCGUCACGGUCAGGACCCCGUUUUGGAUCGUGACAUUAAUACACUAACUAUUAGCCCAUUUUUUAUCCAUUUAAAAUCCGACACCGAUCCAUCUUCAAAUCAAUUUUUGUCAGACAUUUGAGUAGUACAAAUUCUUACUAUAUUUGUUUAAAAAAAAAAAGAUUUGUUUAUAGGUGCAAUUGAAUUUCUCUUGAAAAUGAGUGAAACUUAUGUUCAUUGUGUUGUAUUGCUAAUAGGAGCACAACACCUUCUAUACAAGCUUCGUAGGUUUGAGAAAUUGGAUGAAUUGGAUCCUAUAUAUUAAACUCGAGAAAUUGAUGCUCGAAAAAAAAUAAAGAAGAAGAAAAAGAGGAAGGCGGAGGAAGAGGAGGAGGCGGCAACGAUGAUCAUGCUCCCAACAAGAAUAUUAAAGAUGUAAAUCAAGCAAACACCGGAGAUUAAGCACAACCAUCAUUUCUUGUCUUUCUUAUCAUCAGCAGACCUAAACAUUGUGAAUAUUUUAUUAAGUAUGAUUUAAUGAAGAACAACCCUCCUCAAUUUUUUCGCCUAUUUCGAAUCCCCCAUUGCCAAUCCAAAGAAAGAAAGCAAAUUCAUUGCUGGUAGCAGGAAAAGCAAUUAAACUACAGCAAGCAAAACAAUAUUAUUAGUAUGAACAUGGAAACUAACAACAACAACGGAUUAAAUGGGGUGAUUUUCUAUGUGGAUGCUGAUGUUGAUUGGUCAUGCGGCCUUUUAUGUCUACAUGGCAUGUUUGGUGUAUUUUCGUUGUUUUGUGUAUUUUCGUUAGAAAGAGGGAUAUUUUUUAGUCAAAAAAUUAACGGGGGAUAUUUUUACUUCAUUUUUGGAUAAUGCAGAAUUAUUUUUGGCCCUUUUUUGUAUAAUAUCAAACAAUUUUUUUUUUAUCUUUUAUUUAUCUUUAUGUAUAGUAACUAUACAUAGCGAAUUUAUACAUAAAAUAUGGGACAGGUGAAUCCUUAAAUUUUUUUGUAAACAUAGGUAUUUUAUGUUAUAUUUCUUUUAAAUUGAUAUAAUAUUAUCUGCAAUAAUACUAUUAUGAUACUAUUAUCAUAAGUAGGCAAAAUAGUACAUUUAAUUAAAUAUUGAGUUAUUUAAGGAUCAACUCUUACUUAAAACUUCAUGGGUGUUAAAACGAAUGAACUACUUUUAUUUUUAGUUAGUUUCAAAACAAAUGAUUUUUUCCUUUUUCUACAACACUUCAGUUUCAACUUUUCAUGUGGCAUAUUUAAGAUCACAAGUUUUAAGAACAUUUUAAUAUAAUUGACAUAACUUUAGUUUAAAAUUACAUGAUUCAAAAGUCUUCUUUAUUUUCUUAAAUUUCGAGUCAAAUCAAAACAAGUCAUUCUUUUUAAAACAAAAGAAAUACUUUUUGUGUAGUUACUUGAGAAAAUUGAAGGAAAGGUGUCAUUUAAGUCUUGAAUGAAGGAUUGGUGACAUUGACCAACUUAAAAGGUCAAACAUCAUUAGAAAACUUGAUUAAGUUAAUUGUGGACUUGAUUAAUAUUUUUAAAACUUUUUAAUCUUUUGAAAAAUACAAAUCAACCCAACCCACACCCCUCUUCAAUCCAAAUCAAACACUCUUUNNNNNNNNNNNNNNNNNNNNNNNNNNNNNNNNNNNNNNNNNNNNNNNNNNNNNNNNNNNNNNNNNNNNNNCUGUAAAAUUCCUCCCUUCAACCUCUGACGAUAAAUAGUCGGGCGAGUUUCUUUUCGACUUUCAACCGCCAAUCGACGUGAAGACUUCUCCGGAGACAACAACUUCGCGUUCUUCGUUGUCGCAUUUCCUUUUUAACAGGUAAAAAAUUAUGAAAAAACAGAGGAACUUAAGUGAACUACUCUUCUAGUAUUGAAAUGUGGACUGAAUAAAAUCCUAAUUUCUGGUAUUUUUUCUUCUUUUUAUCGUACUGUUAAUUCAAAUUUGUUGGUGAUUUUUGGCCACAGUUGAUGUUCUUAGUAUGUGUGUGUGAUGUGUUGGUGUUGCUGGGUUGAUUUGUUGUUUGUCUUGGUAAAAAUGGUAUUGCAACAGAUGAAACAUCUGAUGUAGCAGAUGAAACAUCUGAUGCAACAGAUGGAAAUCUGAUGCAACUAUGACAAUCUGAUGCAACAGGUGAACAAUCUAACAGAUCAUUCACCUGUUGCGAUAGACGACUCUUCUGUUUGGAAGAAAUCUAAACAAUAUUAAUCCAACAGAUAACUGAUCAGUGUUCUAUUUUUAUUCUUUCAAACGGUUUACUCUUUAUUUUACAACAGAUUAUUGAUUGUUUUUAUUCUUUCCAACAGUUUACUCAUCCAUUCCAACAGGUCGAUUAUAUGUUACAACAGAUAAAAUACCUGGUGCAACAGAUUAGUGAUCUGUUUUUAUGGUUUCCAACGGAUUACUCAUCCGUUGCAAUAGGUUGGUUAUAUGUUGCAACCGAUAAACUACCUGGUGCAACAGAUUAGUGAUCCGAUUUUAUCUUUCUAACGGUUUACUCAUCUGUUGUAACAGGUCGGUUAUAUGUUGCAAUAGAUAACAUACCUGGUGCAAUAGAUUAGUGAUUUGUUUUUAUGGUUUCCAACGGAUUACUCAUCCGUUGCAAUGGGUCGGUUAUAUGUUGCAUCAGAUAAAAUACCAGGCACAACAAAUUAGUAAUCUGUUUUUAUGGUUUCCAUGGGUUACUCAUCCGUUGCAAUGGGUCGGUUAUAUGUUGUAUCAGAUAAAAUACCAGUGCAAUGGAUUAGUGAUCUAUAUGGUUUCCACGGAUUACUCAUCCAUUGCAAUAGGUUGGUUAUAUGAUGCAACAGAUAACAUACCUGGUGCAACAGAUUAGUUGUCUGUUGGAACUGUUAUAUUACUGUUAUACAUUAAUCAACUAUAAUCUAUGUUAUGUUCCUGUUAAUUUAAGAUACUAUGGCUCCUAAAAGAAAAGAAAUUGAAUCAAGUCCAAGUAAAGAAACAAUUACAGAAGCUCGGCUACAUCCAUCACUCUAUGAGCUUGCUUUACAAGCGUUAUCUGAAUCAGGAGCAGAAGAUAAUGAACACAGAGAGGAGGAAUCUUUCAAAAGAGAUGAUCCAAAUGCUAAUAGCCCUUUCGCCGAAGUGUUGGUCAAAACCUUCAGCAUUGAUCAUUAUCCUAUGAGAAUGCAGUGUGAUGGUGCCACAGAUUUAAUGGGUGAUCUCAUGGUUAAGUCAGUCAUGGAAAAAUCUUUCGACGCCUUCAAAAAAUACUUCGAGAACAAAAAUUGGAUUCUUAUUUUAGGGAAAGCUGCUUUGGGCAAUAUCUUGAUUUGCUGGAGGACAACAAUGCUCGUUUCUAGAUGAAAUGGUAUAUGAUCUUCUCAAGAGCAGGUUUAUGUAAAACAACAAAGAUAAGAUGGAUGAGGUGUGGAUAAAUUACUGUGGUAUGCCUGUUUGUUUUGGUUGGAAGGAGAUUGUCAUAGUUACCAAACUAAAAUAUUAUCCUCCUUCUCCUUCUCAAGUUAUACCUACUCUGACCCAAAAAAAGCACCCCGCACACCCAAAAAAGGAAAAAGCAAGUCGAGUGAUCGUGAUGACUUGGUGUCCAUUGUUGAUCCAAGCUUCAAAAAAAAAAAUUGAUAGAAGCGUUGAAAGGUAAAGGACUUUCAAAGAAGCACAAGCAAUCAUUGUGCUUGGUUUGGUUUGUACAUAAUGUUCUUUGGGCGAGAAACGUUAUGUAACAACCCAAAAUCACCUCCUGGGACGUCACACGGUGCUUAAAGGUACAAGUAGCCCCAAGCUAAGCCUUUGAUCCUGUCACUACAUAUAAUAACUCAUUUCAAGAAGAAAUCAAUGAAAUACUGGCACUGUCAUAUCAAAUAAAAGGAAAUACAAAGAUAAUACUCUGUCCAAACGACCACAAUACUGGAAAUCUCGACACAACAACAAUCUGAUAACUAGUCUGACAACGCCUCUACUACUCCAUGAACAAAAGAGCCGUUGGGACAGGUCCCCAACUGACUCAAACUGAACUGAAAGUAAUAACAUAAAUGCUCAAGUACUGACAUAUCUAAAGAUAGGCCCUCGAACCAUGAGGACUCACCACUGGAGAAAUAUAGACAAAGGUACUCGAGAAUCGCUGACGAGGCUGGGACUGAGCACCUGAACCCACAUUAUAAGACAAUGUAGCACAUAGACAUAUAUGUGGAUCAACACUUGGGAAUGUACUAAGUAUAUGGGGGUGUAUGCAUUUACAUAAAACCAUAGCAAUACUCUUUAAUCAAUCAUACAUGCAUAGCAAUACUCUUUAAUCAAUCAUACAUGCAAUUAGGAAUGACUCACAUGGCUUGAAUAAGGCAAGAUGUAAAGCUCAUAAAUCAUGUAGAACUCAGCAUAAGACACUAUCUCAUUCAAGGGAUCAACAGGCUGGGGUUUCUCAUUAUCAUAUCUAUGGGCAUCCGCUCUUCGAAGAGGCAUUUUCUGAAAUAGAAGAGCAUGAAUUAUUAGAUGAGAGGGACAACUGUAGGCACGACCGAAUCUAAAAGAAAGAAACAAAUUUUUUCUAAAACAUCUUAUAGCCUCUUGCUCAUAGAUGUGGCGUGCUACACACCGAUGAUCAAGACUCUACUCAACGUUGCUUGUCAGACUCCAUAAGACUCCUUUAAAACCUUAGGCUCUGAUACUAAGUUUGUAAUGACCCAAAAUCAUCCCCCGGGAUGUCACAUGGUGCUUAAGGCUACAAGUAGCCCCAAGCUAACCCUUUGAGCUUGUCACUACAUAUAAUAGCUCAUUUCAAGAAGAAAUCAAUGAAACACUGGCACUGUCAUAUCAAAUAAAAGGAAAUACAAAAAUAAUACUUGGUCCAAAUGACCACAAUACUGGAAAUCUUGACACAACAACAAACUGAUAACAAGUCUGACAACACCUCUACUACUCCAUAAAUAAGAGAGCCGUUGGGAUAGGUCCCCAACUAACUCAAACUGAAUUGAAAGUAAUAACAUAAACACUCAAGUACUGAAAUAUCUGAAGAUAGGCCCUCGAACCAUAAGGACUCACCACUAGAGAAAUAUAGACAAAGGUACUCGGGAAUCAUUGAUGAGGCUGAGACUGAGCACCUGAACCUAUAUUAUAAGAUAAUGUAACACAUAGACGUAUAUGUGGAUCAACACUUGAGAAUGUACUGAGUAUAUGGGGGUGUAUGCAUUUACAUAAAACCAUAUCAAUACUCUUUAAUCAAUCAUUCAUGCAAUUAGGAACGACUCACAUAGCUUGAAUAAGGCAAGAUGCAAAGCUUAUAAAUCAUGUAGAAUGAAGCAUGCAACACAAAUCUCGUACGUCAUUAUACUUUAGCUUUAAAAUCUGGAUUCUUCUGUUAUUCUCAUUACUCAAAGACUAAAGAAAGCUUUAAACCAUACUUUCAAGUCAUGCAUAUAUCUCAUGGAGAUUAAAACUUCUUUAAUGCUCAAGAAUUUAUAACUCUUUUGAACUCAAACACUUGGAACUCGGAAUCGUAUAACUUUGGUUUAAGAAAACCGGUGAUCAACUCGUAUUAGUAGAGAAAACUACUUCCUUCUUUGGAAAAUACUCAAAAAGUAAUUCAUUCAUUUUGGAAAAUAUCUCAUCUCAAAGCUUUAGGGAAAAUAUUCUCUCUCAAUGAAAAAUACUUUAGUCUUAGGAAAAAUGACAUAUCAAGGGAGGUUCUGUUAAUCGAAAUAAACCAUACGAGCUACAUGGAGUCCAACGUCUUGUCCUCCUAAGAAAGAAACCUCACAUUGGGGAGAGGCGUCAUACUCUUUCCAAGGAGUAUAACCUAAACUCAGUGAUCACUUAUAUCGGCCUCGGGCCCAAUCAUCUCGACCUCAGGCCCAAAAUCUCAAACCUAUGGUGUCACGUAGUUCUGGGGUAAGAAACCGUAGUAACUUACCCAACUCAGUACUAAAUACUACUCCCUUUAGUUUAUCUCGCUCAUCUCAUGGAAAUUCGCUUUCAAAAAUAAUCUCAUGGUUCAUAAGAACCCAACAAUCAAGUCUGUAAUCUCAUGUAACAAAGUGGAUUUCAAAGCUCUAUGGCCAUUAGGUCAAAACAUUUCUCAAUAAUCUUGGGAAUACUCAAAUUAUGGGUGCUUAUAGCACAAGAGUUCAUAAAAUUGCAAGUAUCAAGUAGGGCUUAAUGACCCAUAAUUCAAUCUCAAGUUAAAACUCAUCAAUAUGCAUAUAAGAUAGCAUAUAGAUUCAUAAAUCAUAUAGAAAUCUGGAAUUUAUAGCAAUUUAGCUCAAAAUCUCGACAUACUCAUAUACUUCAAUAUCUUAAAUAUUGCAACUAUUAACUUUUCACGGAAUAAAAUCAUAGGGUAUAAACCCAGCUUCAAUUUCUCAAGAAAACAUGUAAAAAUUAUGCCAUUAGACUCUCAAUUCAUGGGAAACAUCAAAAGCAUGCAACCAAUAACAAUGGGUGAAACCCCCUAAUUUAAUUUCACGUAAAAUCUCAUAAGUUGCAGAAAAUUGUAGUUUAAAUAAGCCUUUGGGCACAAGGUGAAAGGAUUACCCUUGUUCAAAACCUCACAUACCUUAGAUUAUGAAAUUGGAUGAAAAUUCUUGCUCUAAACUCUUUUUCCUACUCUUUGAGAGAGGUUUCUUGCAACCUUGGACUUGAAAAACUCAAAUCUCAACUCAAUUUGUGGAAUCUAUGGUGAUUUCUUGAAUUUCUUGGAGAAGGGUUUUAGAUUUGAUCUUGAGGGAGAAACUCUAGCUCUCUUGUGUUUUGGAUGAUGAAUGAAGCCAUUUGCUUCAUUUAGAAUAUAUCUGGUUGAUAAAAGAGUUAAAAGAUAGAAAAUCCCUUUUUAAAAUGAGUUAAAAUACUGAAUGGGGCGGCGACGGUCCGUCGCAAGUCUGACGGUUCGUCGGAUCAUCCAUCGUACAUUGGCUAGAGAAAGAACAUACUGUCUCGAUGCGAUGGUCUAUCGCAAACUCGAUGGUCCAUCAGAUCGUCCGUUGGACGUUGGCCAAGAUGAGGCCACACUACCUCGAUGCAAUGGUCUGUCGUAGCCUUGACGAUUCGUCGUCCUAGCCAUCGCACUUAGCCCAAAAAAGAGAGUUACUGGCUUGGUUACGACGGUCCGAGUGACGGUCCAUCGCAGACUGGACAGUCCGUUAGAUCUUCCAUCGCACCUGGGCGGUUCCAACAACUCACAGUAAAAUGACCUUAACUUCUCACCCAAUACCGAAUUUGGAAGAAGUUGGUAUCGUUGGAAAGCUAAUUCAAUUCUCCACAUGACAAAAAGUCAAAUUUAAUAAAAUUCUAUAUGGUUUAAACACCAAUCACCUGGGAAGUCACUUCUCAAUCUUUUAGGGACAGAAUUACACUUCACUUGACACGCUCUAAGGAUCAAAAUACGAGAAAACUUUACGGGGUCCUACACGUUAACAACAACAUAAGCCUCGGUUUAAUAAAUCUCUUCGAGGAUAUUAAGGCAUUUAAUAGCUAUUCUUGGGGUUAUGAAAACUUCAAAAUGAUUGUCGAAUAUGUGUUGACUCCAUUAACACCAAAAACAGUCAACUUAUAUGGCUUUCGAUGGGCCUUCAUGGUAAAUAUUUCUUUUAUCAUGAUAUGAUUCAUCAUUUUUUUAUUCAAUAAUGCUUUUGAUUUAUUGGCAUUAUGUUAUAGGCUUGGACAUUUGAAGUCAUUCCUUAUUUGAGACAACAAGUGAACUACCUUGAAGAAGUUUCCUAUCCAAGAAUUCUGAGAUGGUUGUUGGCUAAAACAGAUAAAAAUGCUAAAUUUCUUAAUCUUUUCAAUCCCCCCAAGAAAGCAGUAAGUCCAAUUCUAAUCAAGUUUUUGUUUUAAGUAAUGAUUAAAUAAUUUCAUCAUCAUUCUUAAUAUAUGUACCGAUUUAUUUUAGAUUUUCUAUCCAUGGCUUGUUCCGACCAACUAAGAGUUAAAGAUGCCAUUUUUUCUUACUUUACGGUCUAUGCAAACUUUAUUGGACCCUAAGGUUGUUUAUGGAAUAAAAUGGAAUUGUUUAGAGCCACAACCAUCACAAGGAAAAUAAUUUUGGAGGGUGGGACUAAUGAUGAUCCUCUUGCAGUUUUUGAAACAACAAGCCAUUAUGAUUAUGAUCAUAAUGGUUGUACAGAUUUUUCUCCAGAUUUUGCCACAUCUAGUGAAUGUUCUGCAUACAAAUGUCAAGAAUCCAAGGCGAAAAAUGGUGGAGUGAUUAAUUCUAUUAAUACACUAACUACUUCUGUAAAUAAAAUGACAUCUAAGAGGGGUGUCAUUCCAUCAAAGAGGAUUUCAUAUCCAGACACUCCACUAGAGAUCAAGGCAGCUAAGAGGAGAAGGAAAGACAUUUCCAAGGCAUCAUCAAGCAUCAAAAAAGGAAAGAUUGCAAUGCCUCUGUCUUUGUCUUGCACCGAUGUUCAGUGUGCAAGGGCCACAGGAGAGCAACAUGAGCUGAAAAAGGUGAAUGCACAUCAUCUGUUCCAAAAAACAAACAGGCACAUAUCUGUUUCAAUAGAUUAUACAUCUGCUGAAAAUUAUCAAACAUAUAUAUACAACUGUUGCAACUAUUGUCUAACUUGUUGCAUUAGAUUCGUUAUCUGUCUCAACAGAUAAGUCUUAUGUUGCAACAGAUGAGUUAUCUGUUCGAAAUUAUCAUACUACUCUGAUUUACCUAUUUGAAUUUAUCCCAACAGAUAAUCCAUCUAAUGCAACAUAAGACUCAUCAAUUGCAAUAGAUGGACAAUCUGUUGUAUAUCUCUACUUAGCAUUGAUAAUUCUGGCUUUUCAGGUGGAUGUGAUAAUCCCUCAACUGCUUUCAAAGAAGAAGAAAAAGUGGAGCCUGUCAAUUUGAGAAAACAGAAGAAUUACCUGUUUGAAGGGUUCAACAUAUCAAAUGAGGCUGUAAAAAAACUCACAGUUAAUCAACGACUAUUCAGAAUGGAUUGUCGAUGGGUUAUUAAGCAUCAUGUCGGCAAGUACAUAAAUCAAUUUGAUAGAUAUUGGUUUAUACAAUUCUUGUUGUAAGAACUUGGCAUUAACACAUAUAAAUCAUCAUGUAGAAAAUAAAAUGACGAGCGCUACAAAGUGAAGAAAUUGAGUCUUGGUUUUGAUAUGUUUGACUUUGUUGUUGCACAUCCCGAAAUAAAGAAUUGGUUCUAUUUGAUGUCACAGCCCCAAACUUGCUGGAAUAAGAGGUUAAAAUGCCUUAAAUAUUACUAUUAAUUAAUACUUUAUUUAAUUACAUUUGCUUAUUGAUUUUUUUGUCACGUAAUCCAAGAUAUUUGAUAAUAUGUGCAACACAUCGAUGUCAUUUUUUACUACCUACGAAAGAAGGCCAAGUUGCAAACACAAGAAUAAUACAGAUACACGAAAGGUAGUUAUUUAUACAAAGUUUACAUCAAUAAUGUCUACGAUGGUAUUGUCAAUAAUAGCCGAAAGUUUCCCGAAAAGUGGAAUGCUUAAUCAACAUCAUCAAAGAUUCUAGCAUUUCGACUGGCUUACCUUGGCAUUUGAUCGACGAAGUGUACAUCCCAAUCAAUUGUACUGAUGAAUUCCAUUGGGUGUUGGAUGUCGUCAUUCUAAAAGAGAGGCGCAUCCAAGUUUAUGACUCGAUGUCACGAAGGAGAUAUUUCGGGACGUUGUCUGAGAUAUAAAAGUUGGCCAAAAUAUUACCUACUUAUCUUGAUAUGAGUGGCUUUUUGGACCAAAAGGUUUGCACUGAUUGGUCGACAAUUGAAGUAUACCGGGAUAAAAUGGCUAAUCCAUUUGAUGUACAAUAUGUUGAAGGAAUUGCUCAACAAACCAUUGGUAGCCUGUAAUUUUAAGUGUCAUGAUUUAGUUUCAUUUCACAAAUUUCACAACGCUUGCAUGAACUGCAAGAUAUGGAUUAUCUAUUUUUUUUUAUAAAGUAGGGAUUGCGAUUCUUUUGUUGCCGCUUACACCGAGUAUUUGAGCGAUGGAUUACAAGUAUCAAAUGAUGGACUUGAUUCUGGAUUACUCCACAAAAGAUAUGCUGCUCUUCUAUGGAAAUACGGAGAAGCGAAAGCUCAGAAGCCGUAUGCAACCGGCGUUAAGGAUCCACGACGACCAAAGCCGAAUUCUGUAGCACCGGAUAAAUAACAACUUAUCCAUAUUGAUUAGAUCUGUAUAGCUUGAGUCCGUCAAUGUAAUAACCUAUCCUCUUUGGUUUAAUUUGAUGAUUUAUUUAUAGAGUAGAUCAUUUGUACCCAUAAUAAUUUUUUUUAUAUUUUAUUUAUUUGUUGAGUUAUUUCAUGUAAUUUUAGAAGGCUUCGAUUUAUUUUAUCUUGUCUAUGAAUAUAAAUAAUCCUUAUUUUUGAACAUGUUCCUUGAAAUGGAGUACUAGAAUCAAAUAUUGCAAAAGAUAAUACAUCUGCUGCAAUAAAUGACAUAUCUUAUCUUAUAGAUUUAGCCAUAUGUUGCAAUAUGAGAUGCAACACGUAGGUCAUCUGCUGGAAAUUAUAUAACAGGUCUUUCUACUUUUUUUAUUUGCUCCAACAGAUUACCGAUCAGUUGCAACAGAUAGAUUAUAUGUUGCAACAGAUUACCGAUCAGUUGUAACAGAUAGAUUAUAUGUUGCAACAGAUGACCAACCUAUUCCAACAGAUAAUCAAUCUGUCACAACAGGUACUGUAUCUGUUAUGACAGAUAUAAAAUUUGUUGCAUCAUGAAAAUUCAACUUGGCCAGACAUAAAAAUUAUUGCCACUACAUGUAAAGUGAAUUGGCUUGAAAUUAAAAUUUGUUAUCGUGUUCAUUUCUGUCUUUAUACAUGUUCUUUUUUAUAAACGGGCUCCAACCAUUUAGUUAGUACCCUAUAUGCCCAGACCCAUUGCAUCUUUCCCAUAACGGUGUCACACACACCGGUCAUUUAUGUGUCGGUCAGCAAACACUUGAUGUAUGCAAGUGAGUAUGGCCCACACGCUACACCAGUUAUAUUUCUUGGAGCUGGAUGUUCUUAUUUCGACCUUCAAAAUUCCUUGAUUCCUUCGCCAAGACUUCAUCUGGCAGAUGAUCCAUCAUCUUACUUUGUGUCAACAACUUAGGCAACAACUUCAAGAGUGGAUGCAUGUGGGUUAAAAACAUCUUCUCGCUGAAGACAGGUAAGUUACAGUUAUAAACCUUAAUCUUUCCCUCGUAUAGUAGUAUCUCAAUAGUGAGAAAAUGUAUGACAUAUACAUUCAUAACUGCAAAAAUUCUCUUUGCCUUGGUCCAGCUCUUGCCGUGUGAAUAUGGCCUCUUUUCUAUAACAUAUUUAAUCACUUCUUCAUCUCAUUAGAACAUAGUAACUAACUGAUCAAAUCCCGGCCAUCAAAAUCAGCUAUCUUAUAGAUUUUAGCAUACCUAUCCUUGAAAUUAUUGUAGAAGUUGAGGCCAAUUAUCCUAUCGAAAAAUCAUAAGCAUCCGGGUAUGCUAAUUGCUUGCCCCUCAUGAGGCAGAUAAUUUCAUCAACAUACUAUGGUAUAAGAAAAUAAUUUUUAAAUAGGUUAGUAAUUAUAAAGAAUAAAAAUACAGUGGAAAGAAUUCGAUGCAGAGGGUUCUCUGAUUUAGUUCACAUAUUACCCAGCUAACGCAACUUAUACAACAGAUGUAUAUUAUAUUACAACAGAAUACCAAGUUGUUGCAACAGAUUACACAUCUGCUACAUAGAUUCUUCUUCAUGGAGUAGAUUGGAAGGCUAGGUUAGCAAAAGUAAACUUACCUUGUCCUAAUACCACACGCACAUAUUUGUCAUAUUCGAGAAGUCUUUGGUGGUAAAUGAAUGCAUGGUGUAUUCUUUUUGAACCUUCAUCUUGAUGAAUACUUCCAGUUCCUUCUUCUUCUCCUUUCCAAGCACUGUGAAUAUGUCCACCUUCUUCGGUGGCCCCUAAACUUCAACAACUAUUGGAGCAGGGAGAGUUGCAUUUUUUGCUGAUUUCAGAAUGGAGAGAAUUUGUCUAAUUUUUCUUAUCUUCCUCCUAAACUCCACUGUAGGAGUGUAUGGCUCCCGUACCUCAUUGGAUGGUAUGACACCCCUUCUGGAUUUCAACUCCUCGGCAGCUUCACAAUAGCCUCUAGCUUUUCAAGGAUUUUAUCCUCUCUGUCCUUUCCCACUUGGCAUUUUCAAUGAGAACAUAAGGGUGAGGAGGGGUGAGAGGGACCACUGUAAGGGUGGGAGGGACCGGUGUAGGGGUGAGAGGGAGGACCUGUGCAAGGGGUGUUUUCAAACAUAUUUAUUUUUUACUAAGCAACAACAUGUUCAUAAUCAUGAAUGGAAGCAGCAGCAGGAUGGCUUCCACUUUCACAAACAACUCCACCAGCAACAACCCCAGAAGAAGCACCCAGAUCUGUUGCAGUUUGACGUUGUUCGUGAAGAGCUUCAACAUUAGGCUGACCUUGCCUAACUGCUCUUCUUAUGGAUGUUGCUCCAUAUAAUUCCUUCUUUAUUAACUCCUUCGUUGGGUCAUAUUUUGUAUCAACAAGACCCAGAGUAAGAAAAGAAGUCAUACCCAUCUCAUCAAUGGUAGGCACAAUCCAAGGAUGCACAACCUAUAAAAAAAGACAAGAGGAAUUUAAAUCAUAUAAUAAUAAUAAUUUGCAGUCAGUUGGGUUACAUGGAUGUUAACACAACCAACUUAUGCAAUAGAUGAUCUAGCUACCACAACAGCUGAUCUAUAUGUUGAAACAAAUAGAUAAUAUAUUACAUUAGAUUACCCAUUUGUUGCAUAAUUUGCAGUAGAUGGGUAAUCUGUUGAGUAAGGUUCAAAGAAUCAGAGCAAUAGAUGGUUAAUCUGUUGUGAAAUAUGGAUCGUUUGUCACAACAAAUUACACAUCUGUUGCACCAGUUGCAGUUGACGGGUAAUUUGUUGUAACAGAUGACCCAUCUGUCGCAACAGAUAAAACAACUAUUUUAAUAUCUUUCUUUGAGGAAAAUUAUUAUAGUUCAAAGAAGACGUACUGUAUCAUCCGUAGGGUUAAAGAGAUCAACCUCAUUAAUAUUUUUUUACUGCUCUUUCCUGCAGCCAACCACCUAAGGAUCCUUGGAUAAGAAACCUUAUCCAGGUAAUCCUUUAAAUGCUUUCGGAGGGGAGGAAUGACUUUACAUGCCCAAGACUAAAAAUUGUAAACAGGAAGCAAGCAAAAAAAAAGUUAUAACUAUAUUCAAUAAAAAUUACUGAAUGAGUAAAAAUAGUGAUCAAUUUUACCAUGAAAUCCCAAGGAAAGCCGUAUAAUGUGGUCGUCUUUGCCUUUAGCUUUUUCAGUAAAUAUUUGACAUUCAAGUAGUAGUUGUCAUAUCCCCAAGGAUAAUCGUUGAAUUUCCCAAAAUCAUCAGCAAACGUCAACAAAUCUUGUUCCAACAAUGCCCAACAACCCAUCUUUUUUUACCCUGUGUUUGUUGGACCCUUUGUGGGGUGUUUUCUUGAUGAUAGGUUCUUCUGCAUGAUAGCAUCUCAAGCCCGUCACUAUGGCAAACUCUUUCAACCCAAAACAAACUGGCAUGCCACAGUAGUUGAUCCAGACUUCAUCCAUAUUUUUUCUGCCCUCCUUCGGACCUCCAUCAUCCCCCGUAUACUUGAUCCUGCGCUUGAGAAGUCCAUAUACCAUGAUCAUUGGGAAACGAAGAGGGUGGGCCCCAAACAACUCAAAAAAGUAUGCAAAGUAGCUCUUCUUAAAAAGAUCAUCUAUAUUUUCCUUCUUCAUAGAACUCUUAAGUUCGUUAAAAGGUUUCCCCAACUGACAUUUAAGUACAACAUCAUGAAAUAAUGCGUGAGGGUUACUCAUCGGCAUCGCAACUCAAAAGCCGAUAAUACUAAUAGUUUGACAAAACCAUGCUGGGAUUUCAAUGUUAUUUCAUGCUCCAUUGGUGAGAAGCAGUUAUCACUUUCCUCAGCUUCAUUUUGCCCUGACUGAGAUUGUUCUAGAAGUUUCUCCGAAUCUAGCUGUAGUCUAGCCUUUUUUGUUGGGUGGUCAGAAGUUGAUCCACUUUCAGUUUCUUUUAUUUUGGGAGACAUCUUUUAACUACAAACAAUAGAAAAACAAAAAAUACAUUGCAUUUGAUGUUUGCAUAUUUUUUUUUAAAAAAGGUGAGAUAAAUUUCAAUAAAUUAUUCUACGCCACAUAACAAAAAAAAUACUCCAACGUACAACCCAUCAGUUGGAACAGAUGGGGAACCCAAAUCUGUUUAAAGACCUAUUUAAUAUCUCUCAAUAGAUAUUCCACUUGUUGCAAUAGAAGGACAAAUUUUAAUAAAUUAUUCUACGCCACAUUACAAAAAAAAAUACUCUAACGGAUAACCCAUCAGUUGGAACAGAUGGAGAAUCUAUUUGAAGACCUAUUUAAUAUCUCCCAACAUAUUUUUCACCCGUUGCAACAGAUGGACCACCACCACCACAACCAAUGCCACCAAGACCACCACCAAUGCCAUCAAUACCAACACCAAGACCACCGACACCACCGCCAAAAAACAUAAAUACCAACACCACCAACAACAGCCACCAACAACACCACAAACACCAUCCAACAAUACCACGAUAGUCAACAAAAAACUGAGAGAAAAACUAGGAUUUUCUCGAGUGCUUCCUACUUUUUUAGCAUCAAAACUCAAAAUUGUUAACCUAUUCUCGAAGAUAAUAUAAUUAAAAGUCUUUUUUUCAUCAUUAACUAAAAAGCCCUAUUUUUUAGAAUAAAGAAAAAAUGUAGAACUCUUCUCAAACUUUGUUACCUAUGAAGACAGAAAAAAUAACAAAUACAAGUGGGAAUGAAGUAAAAAAAAAACUAUAUAUGGUCGUAAAUGGGAAGAAAAUUGACCUGUUUUAAAGGGUUGAGCAAUAUGUUGAGUUGUUGUUGUUUGUAUUGUUGAGAGAGAGAGGAGAGCCCAAGAGAGAGAGGGAGAGAGAGAGAAGAGUGAGAACUUCAGAUUUGAAAUGAAAAGUUUAUCAUGCAAAUGGAUGAUUUGUAUAGGUUGAUUUAUAAUUUUGGAAAAGAAUGACAAGUUUUAAAAUUGCUAAUUUUGUCCUAAUUGAUCUUAAUUAAUUUUUUAAAAAAUUAAAAUAUAUAGUUUUUAGAACAUUUAGUUGAUGAGAACUCAUUUUAAGUCAGAGUGAUCGAUCGACGACUCGGGUCGGGAUGAACGCAAUACCAACGUCAUGUAAUUGCAAAGAAUCGAUUGGAUUUGUAGUUGGCCCUGUGAGCUCAUUCAUUCAUCCCUAGUUCCACCUAAAUCAACUUAGGUACUAUCAGUAUCCUAACAUUGAGUUGAUGAGAACUCAUUUCUACUCGGAGUGAUCGAUCAAUGACUCAGGUCGGGAUGAACGUAAUACAAAUGCCAUGCAAUUACAAAGACUCAAUUGGAUUUGUAGUUGACCCUAUAAGCUUAUUCAUUCAUUCCUAGUUCCACCUAAAUCAAAUUAGGUACUAUCACUAUCCUAACAUUGAGUUGAUGAGAACUUAUUUUAACUCAGAGUGAUCGAUCGACGACUCAGGUCGAAAUGAAUGAAAUACCAAUGCCAUGCAAUUGCAAAGACUUGAUUAGAUUUGUAGUUGACCAUGUGAACUCAUUCAUUCAUCCCUAGUUCCACCUAAAUCAACUUAGGUACUAUCACUAUCCUAACAUUGAGUUGAUGAGAACUCAUUUCAACUCAGAGUAAUUGAUCGAUGACUCGAGUUGGGAUAAAUGCAAUUCCAAUGCCAUCUAAUUGUAAAGACUCAAUUGGAUUUGUAGUUGACCCUGUGAGCUUAUUCAUUCAUUCCUAGUUCCACCUAAAUUAACUUAGGUACUAUCACUAUCCUAACAUUGAGUUGAUGAGAACUCAUUUCAACUCAGAUUGAUCGAUCGAUGACUCGGGUCGGAAUGAACGCAAUACCAACGUUAUGCAAUUGUAAAGACUCAAUUGGAUUUGUAGUUGAACCUUUGAGCUCAUUCAUUCAUCCCUAGUUCCACCUAAAUCAAUUGCAAUGAAAUCUGUUGCAACAAAUGACUGAGCUGUUGAAAAUUUUCAAACAAAUAUUCAUAUAUGUUGCAACAGAUGACAUAUCUGAUUUAAUUAUCGAAUAGAUAUUUGCAUCUGUUAUGACAGAUGACUGAGCUAUUAGAAAUUUUCAAAUAGAUAUUUAUAUCUAUUGUAACAGAUGGCAUAUCUAAUUUAAUUAAUUAUCAAAUAGAUAUUUUCAUCUGUUGUCAUAGAUGACUGAGAUGUUCAGAUUUCUAAAUAAAUAUUUAUAUAUGUUGCAACAAAUGAUAUAUCAGUUUGAAAAUCUUUUUUUCUCUUUUAAUUUUAAAGAAAGCUUCUGUCCGAGUAGAUAAUAUCAUGCAGUACUUACUACUAAAGGCGGUAAAAAAUAUUUCUUGGAUAUCUCAAAAGUGAGUUCAUUGAGUAGUCUUGUCUUAUCUUUUCAAUGUCACUAGUCUUAGUCUUCCUCGUGCCCCUCAAAUUAUUAAUGAAAUUAAUGAACAUUAAAAAUUCUCACGCCUACAUACACAAUACAUCUAUAAAAAUUAUCUCAUCUCUUUCUUCAACUGCAAUUUAUUUUAUUCAACUCUCAUUUUUUUUUUCUCUCCUCUUUAGGGUCACAACCUUUUUUCUCUCUUUUCUCUUCUCUUCUCAUAAAGAUCCUUUCGGUUCUAAACAAAUCCAUAUCUUUCUUCGACUGAUAUUUCUAUUUUGAUCCCCUUUUUGACAUUAAGGUAUGGUUCAUUAUUGCUCUUUCAUUCUCGUCUUCUUUUUUGCAAGUUAUUUACAUUGUUUUUUAUUUAAUUACUAUUUACCCAUAUCAUAUUUAUUAAAAAAAAUUGAAGGAACUUUUAAGUGUUGAAUAAACAAACGAGAAUUUUUAUUACAAUAUGCAAAAAAAGUCAUCUGUUGGGAGAAGUUUAAAAGCCUUGUUGGUAGUAUUUUUUUGUAUGAAUUUUGUUUGUUACUUUAUUGUUGAUGCAGUUAUUGAUGUUGUUAGUGGGGUUGGCGUUGUUGGAACUUGUGGUAUGGUGUUGUUGAUGGUUCUGGAACAAAGGAUGUUGCUUCUUUGUUGUUGAUGAUGUUGUUAGAACAAAUAUUUUUGUUUCUUUGUUGUUGAUAUUUUUUAUUUGUAGGUUAUGUUAUUGUUGAUAUUGCAACAGAUGAAGAAACUGUUGGAACAAAUCAAACCACCAGAAAGGUUGGUUUGAUGUAUUCCAUCAUACUUCACAUCUGUUGCAAUGGACUCUACAUCUGUUGUAACAGACUCCACAUCUGAUGCAACAGACUCUAUAUCUAUUGCAACAGAUGGAUAAUGUUCUUUCUGUGAAAUUACUUUUUUUUCUCUUCUUUGUAGAAAUAAGGAACUGACAGAUGAUUAACUUUUAUCGGACCAUCACAAACGGCUACAGUAAAGAUGGGUUCAAAGAAAUAAGUUGCAUGCAGAUGGAACCACUUCAUAUGUGGGAGGUAUGUAUUACUGAUAAUGUUAUCAUGGAAACACAUUUAGAGUGCACUGAUGUUGUGAAUAUUAUUUUUACUGAUUAGUCAUAGAUCAUUCAAACAAGAUGUCUGUAAUUUUACAGUUAAGUUUGGUAGGUCCGAACUGAUAAGGCAGAGGGACCAUGAAUAUGGUUCUGAUACCUUGUUAAGAUUUAAUGUCGGUUGUUGCUCAUAUUCAUUUAUCAAGCAUUAUGAAGGGAUCUAGUUUUGGUGUCAUUGUCAAGAGAUUAAAUAGUGAUUGGACUAACUUUUAGGGUGCAUUGGACCCUUAGAGGGCCUACGAAGCUUAGAACUGCAUCUAAUAAGAACGAAAAACCAAUAUAGCUAUUACCCUAGCCCAAAUUUAAAUAGUUGGGUUGCUCGCUCGAAGAGAUAAUUAUAUACCAGAAGGUACGGUAGGAGAAUGGCUUCGAGGGAAAAUAGGUGGUUGAUGGAAGACUAUAUCAUUUGAGAGCUAAUUGAAGAAGAGACAUAGGGUAGAAAGUAACUUGUAGCAAAUCUGGCCGAUGAAAUUAUCUUAAAAGAUGCGAAAUCUGAAUCAAGUGAAAAAAUGAAAGUGUAUCUGGUAAUGUAAUUUCGUCUGUUGUCUCUCUGAAAGAAAAAUAAUGCAGAUGGACACUUUGCUAGGGAGCUGCAUGGUUGGGAUUAUCACCUAGAUAGAAAAUAGAAAAAGACCAACAAAGCAGCCUCACGAGCAUCGAGGGUUGAAAUAAUAUACAAGAAGUCUAGAAACUUACGCCAACAAUAACUGUAGUUAAAAUAAGGAAUCUAAGCGAAGGCAGUAAUUUCUGAAUUUUAAAUUUCAUCCCAUGCCUUCUUGUUUGUGUUUUCGAUUAGGUCCACUGUCGUUGACCUGAUCGAAACUACAAACGAGAUUGAAAGAAAAAUUGAGUAUCAUUUCUUCCUUAGCAAUAUGGUAAUAAUUGAUUGUGUUUUCUUACCUUAGCAUGAUUUGAACAUUACUUGGAGAAGAUCAGAUGCUUGCUGUAGUAUGUGAAUCCUGAUAAUUUUCAAGCUUGCCUCCAGCUUGCUGAUUCUAUAUUCAAGCUAUUCGUUGCCGUCUUCGAAGUUGGUCAAGAGUUCCUUAUCUCUCGUGAGCUCGAUCAGGGACACCACCUUCAAAGUUUUGGCAUUUUAGGUGCCCUUCAGAACAAUUUCUUCAGAAGCCUUAAAGGAUACAUGGAGGGUCGUUGUGUUUGUUUUAGGUCAAAAUGUGUUGAUGCAUGUUGAAUUUAUGAUCCCAACAGUUGAACAACACACUUUUAUCGAGCGUUGCUCAAUGCAUCUUGCUCAACCAAUAUGAUAAAUUAGUAAGCAUUGAGUUAUGUAGCGUGUGAUCUAAAUCGGCUCUACCAAGCCUAUCAAACAAUACAUAACUCCAAGCUCAUUACCCUAUCAAAAAAAUAUGAACGAGUUAGUGAACAAAUUAAACGAGCUUAAUCUCUCAGCCUUUCUAUUGAUCGCUCUUCUCCAAUAUAGAUGACAAGAUAUCUACUGUGCAAAAUUCUACACCAUCGCCGGACACGCUUUUCUGGGAGCAAUUCUUCAAAAGAUAUCUGUUGAUGCCUUCUGAAGAAUUUCUCCCAGGCAAGCAUGUCUUGCGACGGUGUAGACUUUUACAUAGUAGAUAUCUUGUCAUCUAUAUUAGAGAAGAGUGAUUAGCAGAAAGGCUGAUAGAUUGAGCUUGUUUGAUUUGUGCACUAACUCGGUCAUAUUUUUUUGAUAGGAUAAUGAGCUCGGAGUUACGUAAUGUUAAAUAGGCUUGGUAGAGUCGAUUUAGAUCAUACGCUACGUAACUCUUUGCUUAUUAAUUUAUCAAAUUGGUUGAGCAAGAUGCAUGGAGCAACGCUCUAUAAAAGUGUAUUGUUCAACUGUUGGGACUACAUCUUCAACGUGCAUCAACACAUUUUGACCUAAGACAAACACGACGACCCUCCAUAUAUCUUUUAAGGCUUCUGAAGAAAGUGUUCUAAAGGGCUUCUAGAAUGCCACAACUUUGAAGGUAGUGUUUCUGAUCUAGCUCACAAGAGAUGAGGAAAUCCUUACCAACUUCAAAGACGGCAACGACUAGCUUGAAUACAGAAUCAGCAAGCUGGAGGCAAGCUUGAAAAUUAUCGAGAUUCACAUACUAUAGAAAGCAUCUGAUCUUCUCCAAGGAAUGUUGAAAGCAUGCUAAUUCAAAAAAACAAAAUCAAUUAAUCCAUAUUGCUAAGGAAGUAAUGAUACUCUAUUUGCCUUUCAAUCUCGUUUGUGGUUCCGAUCAGGUCAACGACAGUGGACCUGAUCGGAAACACAAACAAGAAGGCAUGGGAUGAAAUUUAAAAUUCAAAAAUUGUCCUCUUCGCUUAGAUUUCUUAUUUUAACUGCAGUUGUUGUUGGCGUAAGUUUUAUAGACUUGUUGUACAUCAUUUCAACGCUUGAUGCCCGUGAGGCUGCUUUGUUGGUCUUCUUCUAUUUUCUAUCUAGGUGAUAAUCCAAACCACGCAGCUCUCUAGCUAAGUGUCCAUCUGCAUUAUUUUUUUCAGAGAGACAACAGAUGAAAUUACAUUAUUUGAUACACUUUUAUAUUUGCAAUUGAUUCAGAUUUUGCAUCUUUUAAGAUAAUUUCAUCGGCCAAAUUUGUUAGAAGUUACUUUCUACCCUAUAUCUCUUCUUCAAUUAGCUCUUAGAUGAUAUAGUCUUCCAUCAACCACCCAUUUUCCCUCGAAGACAUUCUCCUACCGCACCUUCUGGUAUAUAAUCAUCACCCCGAGCGAGCAACCCAACCAUAUAAAUUUGGGCCAGGGAAAUUUCUAUUAGUUUUCCAUUUUUGUUUGAUGCAGUACGAGGUUUCGAAGGUGUUCUCAGAGUCCAAUGCACUCUUAAAGUUAAGUCCAAUCGCUAUUGGUUCUCUGCAGUGACGAUAAAUAUUGAUCCCUUCUCAAAACUUGAUAUGCAUAAACACGAGCAACAACAGUCAGUAAUUCGUAAUAGGGUAUCUGCACCAUCUUCAUGAGGUCCUCAGCCUUAUAAAUUUCAAACCUAUCAAACUUAACGGUACAAUGCAGGAUCUUGUUUGAAUGAUCAAUGCCUAAUCGGUUAAAAACUGCAUUCACAAAAAUAUUAUACUUUAUGUGUGUUGUCCCGAUGACCUUAUCAGUAAUACAUACUUAACUCCCUCACAUAUGAUAGUGGAUACAUCUACAUGCACCUUAUUCUUCCUAGUCAUCUAUGGAUUAAAUUGAAUAAACAGAGGACUAGCUAGUUCCAACAGAUAACACAUCUGUUUAUAUUGUCAAACAAUUGGAGACAUCUAUUAUGACAAAUGAUCAACUUGUUGUAACAUAUAACGUAUCUGUUAGAGAAAUCAAACAGAUAUAUAUAUCUGUUGCAAAAUAUUUCCAGUAUGUUGUAAGUUAUCUAACAGAAAGAAUAUAUUUUGCAACAAAUUACCCAUCUGUUAGAUUUAUUUUAAAGCAAUUUUCUUUUUGUUCCGAGAUAUAAUAAUUUAUAAAUAGGUCCCUCCUUACAAAUAUGGAUGAUCUAGAUUCGUACAAGAAUAUUCAUAUCGAGUCCUUGCGUGAACUUCAAAGGCAGUUUGAUAAACUCUAGAGAGAUUUGGCUGACUUCGGAGCAAGGUUGUCAGAAGAAAAAUAUCUGAUUGACAAUAAUAAUAAUAGUAGUAAUAAUAAUUAGGUAAUGCUUUUUAUUUUAGUGCAUGUAUUUUCCUCCUUUUGUAUAUUGGAUCUACCCACGGGAUUCAAAAUUCUAUGUUUCAUUUCAUUUGGUGGUCGACUUUGAAUUUUUAAUUCUUAUUUAGUAUUUAAUAAUCAUUCUGUUUAUUUCUUGUUCUCAACAUGUCGACGGUUGGUGGUAGGGAUUGAGCAAUUUGUGUCAAUAGAGGCUAACCUGCUGUGACAGAUCAAUCAUAUGUUGCACCAGGCGGUUAUUAAUAAAAAAGGGUUAUUGUUGUUAUUGAGAGGGUGAAAAAGACAUGACUUCCCGAUUAUUCAAUAUGAAAAAUAUUUUGUAAAUAAAUAAUAAGAAAAUAAAUGAUAAAAAUAAUUUAUAACCAUAAAAGAACGAUUAUUUAAUUUUAAUAACGGAUCGUGACUUUGACCAUUUUUAUUUUUGAAUUUAUUUUUUUAAAUUAUUUAUUAUAUAAGAAAAAAAAUCACAAUAUUGGAUUAAUUAACUUAUAUGAUGAUGAUUGUUAAGAAAAAUAAGGUGAUCAAUCAUGACUUUUUGUCUAAAACAAAAACACAUACAUUCAUCAGUGUUGUUCAUGCAUCAAAUUUCUCAUCUGUUGCGACUGAUGUAUCAGCUGUUAGAAGAAAUCAAAAAAGAUAUUAAUAUAGAAUGUCUAUUUGUUUCUACAGAUGGUAUAUCUGUUGCAACUGAUGGUUUAUCAGAUUCAACAGUUAUACAAUAUGUUGUCAGAAAAUAAAAAUGGUUAUUAUUUUAUUAAAGAAUUUAGAAAGGUGUUUUUUUUUAAUUUAUAAAAUAAAAAAGUUAUCAAAUUUGGAUUAAUGAUAUGAUGAUAGUUUUUUAAAAAAAAAAAGUAUAUUAUAUGUUGCAACAAAUAUAUAUUAUCUGAUGCAACAAGUUCACUAUUGUUGCAACAGAUGAUAUAUCUGUUGUCACAGAUGAUUUAUCUGAGGCAACCGAUAUCGAAUCUGUUGUCACAACUCAAUAAAAAUGCUUCUUGAAAAGAACUAAUUAAUAAUAAUAAUCUGAAAAGUCACGACUUAUCACAAUAUUUCUUAAUUUAAUUAAGUCAUUACUUUUCACAUUAAUCAAAGAUAUAAUUAAUAAAUGGAGGUGAAUAGUUAAAUUAUAUGUCGCAACAGAUAGGUUAUUUGAUGCAACAUACUUUAUAUUUAUUGUAACAGAUGAUAUAUCUGCUGUCACAGAUGUGUUAUCUGAUGCAACAGAUAUAGAAUCUGUUGCCACAACUCAAUAAAAAUGGUUCUUCGAAAGAAUUAAUUAAUAAUAAUAAUCUGAAAAGUCAUGACUUAUCACAAUAUUUAUUUUCUUAAUUUAAUAAAAAAUGUAAUUAAUGAAUGGAGGUGAAUAGUCGCGCCUUUUUUCCUCUUAUUCAAAUUCAAUCCUCUAUAAAUAGGUCCCUCCUUACUCAAUCAUUCAUUCAACUACACUCUAUUUAUUUAUUUCAUCUCGUCUUUUAUAUUACACUCUAGAAGAUUAUGGCUGACCCAGUGUGGGACGUUGCUUUUCUGCAAGACGCCAUGAAUGAACUUUGAAAUCAAGUUCGUGACCUGCAAUGGAAACUGGGAGGAGUUAAAGAAAGAAUGCUCCGCGAGAUACGUAGGCUGAGGAGGGCCUUGCUACUUCCGGUUGAAGAUUGGCCGGCAUGCAAUGAUGAUGAUGAUGAUGAUGAUGAUGAUGAUGAUGAUGAUGAUGAUGAUGAUGAUGAUGAUGAUGAUGAUGAUGAUGAUGAUGAUGAUGAUGAUGAUGAUGAUGAUGAUGAUGAUGAUGAUGAUGAUGAUGAUGACGAUUCAACGUAAAAAGGAAUAAUUUAGAAUCCAGUAGCAAUAGCAAGAUUUAUCUGUUGGGUUUGUGGCAGGGGCUGAUGUGUUGUUCAAAACAGAUUACUCAUGUUGCAACGGAUAAAAAUUCUGAUGCAACAGAGAAAUAAUUUGUUUCAACAGAUGACUAGUUUGUUUCUUGUCUUUGACGUUUUAAUUCGUACUCCCUCCAUCUUAAAUUACCUGUCCCAAAUUGAGAUGCCACAUUGAUUAAAAAAAGUAAUUAAUAACAUGUCUAGUUUAUCAUAACCCACUGAUCAGUUGGUGGGAUAGUAGAUGUGUUUGAAAUAACCAUUGUUUGUUAUUCAAUCGAAAUUUCAUAAGAGAAGAAAGCUUUUAACGUCGAUUGGCGUAUAGUCCCCCUAUUAAAUGAUGUUUCCAUUUUAAUUUGAAGAAAAAGUGAUUGAUGCAAAGGGUAAAACAUGGAAUUUUUUUUUUAAUCUUUUCUUGAUUAAUGAAAAAGACAAGUAAAAUGAAAAAUCGAAUUAGGAAAUUUGGGACGGGUAAUUGGACGUAAGGAAUAAUUUUGAAUCCAGCAGCAAUAGCAAGAGUUGAAACAUAUUGGUUAUCUGUUGGGUUUGUGGCAGAGGCUGAUUGUGUUAUUCCAAACAAAUUAAUCAUUCGUUGCAACAGAUAAUUAGUCUGGUGCAACAGAUAAACAUCCCGAUGCAACAGAUAAUACGUUUGAUGCAAUAGAUAAUACGUCCGAUGCAACAGAUAAACAGUCUGAUGCAACAGAUAAAUCUUCUAAUGCAACAAAUUACUCAUCUGAUGCACCAGAUGAUUGAUUUGUUUAAAUUGUAGGCACUUAUGCUGGGUUCAUGAUCGGGGUUCUAUCCAUUGUUAGAAAAACAGAAGAGUACCCAGAUGACAAAUACGGAUAAAAAUUAUAAUAUUACUUACCAACGUCACCUAUGAAGUAAUGCCAAAGUGGAAAGUGAUGUAGUAAACUAAAUUUGACCUAAGAAAUUGGUCAGAUAGCAGCAGUAGCGAUGUACCAACAACAACAAAUGAUCGACAAAAAGAAGAUGAAGAUGAUAAUGAAGUAGAAGAUGAUGAAUAAAGCAUUAGAAACAAUGAACAACAAAAAUCGCUAAGAAAGAGAAAACAACAAUGGAUGAGAAGAGAGAGAAAGACGUCUUUUUUUCCUCCAUUUCCCAUUAUUUUAGAUAAACAUUGGGAUCAAAAUGUAAAUUUAAAAACUUGUGGGUUAUUUUUAAACUUUCUCAACUUUCUUAAUCCAUAAUAAAGUAAUUGUUACUUCCAACUAAUAAUUAAGACUUGUGUCACCUACACCUUAUUUUAAAACUCUUUUGUCAUCUGGGGCCAAAACCCUAGUUACUUGGUUGCAUAAUUGUUUUCAAAUGUCAACAUGGAAAAUACAAGUGUUUAAUUACCACGCUGUGUAUGAUGCUACUACUAUUUUUAGUUUGAGGCCGUGCAGCUUCUAGAGUUAUACUAUUUUAGUUUGAGGUCCUGCAGCUUCUAGAGUGUUAUAUAAUUAAUACUUAUCCAAUUUGAUAUUUUGUACGGAGGAAAUAUUUUUGAGAAAAUAAGUAUUUUUUGAAUUUAUCUUUUAAAAUUUUAAAAGAUAUUAUUUUUAAAAUAUUUAUAUAAAUAUGAAAGGUGAGAAGGAGGAAGAGACAAUCCAUGUAUAAUGAAAAAAAGGGGGGGAAGACACAAUCCAUGUAUAAUACCAUUUGCCAAAUCUUUUAUCCUAAUUUUACCGAGAAAGUCAUUUUUCUCAUUCUAUACAACGUACAUAAUUUUUUUUUUAAUAUGAUAAAAUAAUAUUUCAAGUAUUACAAUUAUCCUUUAUUUUCUUACCUCUUCCUAGGAUGUUGAGAAUAGGUUUGGAUCGAUAUUGACAAAGCAUUCUACUAUUGAAUUAAGUGGCUAUGUUUGAAAUCCGAGUUGAUAAAUAGAAACUUACGGAUAAAAAUGGGCUUAUGCAUAUUAUUGAGGAAAAACAUGUCUAGCUCUCACAUUACCGUUCUUAGAGUCUAAGCUUCUCAUCUCCCUUUUGAUUAUUAUCUUUGGUAGUUCUCUUUAUUUUACUAGUCCAUUAUUGUUCUGUAAUUUCUUUGUUAGCUUCAUUUUGUGAUUGAAAAUUUGGGUUUACUGAUUAUAAUAACUGAGUGUUCUAUUGUGAAAUUGCAGUUAUUAAGUAGGAGCUAUAUCGUUUUGCUUCCCCAAUCACUUAAACUAACAAUUUUAAAAUUAAAAGUGAAAUGUGCUUUAUCAUCCAAGUAAUUCUCUUUUAUCUUAUUAGAAUUUUACCAAAUUUAAUAUACAAACAUAUUUAAUGAACUUUUUUAUAUAUAAAUAUACUUUAGCCAAAAGCUACUGAAUUUAAAUGAACCCAUAUCUGGACUUCUACUACCGCCCCUGAAGUCCCCACCUAUCCUUCAAAGGCAAUAUAUACACAUACAUAACUCAUUAUAUUCCUUAGGGAAAACAAAGUAAUGGAGGUUUCUUAUUACUACUACCUAUUAGUUUCACUUUUUAUUGCAAUAACUUUAGUUAUAUAUGCAUGGAAGUUGUUGAAUUGGGCAUGGUUUAAGCCAAGGAAAUUAGACAAGUGCCUCAGACAACAAGGUCUUAAAGGAAACUCUUACAAAUUAAUAUUUGGAGACCUCAAAGAGUUGUCCAAAAGCGUUGAAAAUGCUAAGUCCAAACCAUUGAAUGUCUCUGAUGAUGACAUAUCUCCUAAAGUUCUCCCUUAUUUUAUUGAAACAAUCAAGAAAUAUGGUAAGAUUUCCUUAUUUUUUUUUGGUCUCCCAUAUGGUUUUGUGUUCCUUUUUUGCUAUCAAUUAAUUCAAAUUUGGAUCGAGAAGUGUUUGGGAUAAAGGGCAAAGAUGACUUCAUUUUUAGUUUUGAAUUCAAGACUUCAAUUAAGAAUGGACUGGUAGCUGGUCUUUCGCUAAAUAGCUCAUAUCUAACAAGAUUUUUUGAUAAUUCAUCAUAGAAUAAAGCGUGCGAUUAUUUUUAUUUUUUACUUUCUUUGUCUUAGUUUAUAUGAUACUUUUUGUUCGUAUUCAGUUUGACUAAUCUUUAUAGCUAAACUAGAUUAGAUUUUAAAAUUAAAAUUUGAAUUAGAUUUUAAAAUUAAAAUUUGAUAUUUAAGAACUAUUGGAAAAAUACUGUUGAUUUUCUUAAAGCUAUUUUUUUUAAAAGGAGCUCUCGUUGUUUCCCUCAUUAACUCGAACUCACAACCUCAGGGCUGGAAGUUGAGGUUGCGAUUAUUUUCAUAUCAAUCUACAAAAAAUAUAUUUAAAAAUAUUAGUCAAAUUUUACAUAAUUUGAACUUUUAGAAGCGAAAAAUGCCACAUAAAAGAAACAUGGGGAACAUAUUUAGCGGCAAAAAUUAUCUGUCAUUGCUUCAUGUUUUCGUGUAGUGUGCAUACUUACCAAUCCGCCACAAUUCAUUAGUGGUGGAGCCAGAAAUUUCAUCAAGUGUAUCAGAUUUAAUCUAUACGUAUGAAAAAUAAUAUUCGACCUAUAAUAUACUUCAUAUAAGUUUCUAUAUACAUUGUAUAACUUUUCGACUAAAGAUGUUCGACUACCAGGGGCGGACCCACGUGGUAUCCAGGGGGUUCACCCGAACCCCCUCGGCAAAAAAUUAUGUUAUAUAUAUAACGUAGAAAAUCUAUAUUUAUGUAUAUAUAUUAAUUUUGAACCAUUUAAAAACAUGGUUGUUGGAUAGCCCAAUGGUUCUAUGUAUCUGUUCACACAUUUAUAUUUUUUUGAACCCAAAAUAAAUUCUUGGAUCCGCCACUGUCGACUACCACCCUUUCCUUUCUCGUGGUGUGAGUUAAGAAUUCAUGAAAUUUAUCCAAUAUUUUACAGGUAAAAACUGUUUUAUAUGGGCUGGACCAAAGCCUAUGGUAUGUGUAAGGGAGCCUGAGGCAAUAAAGGAAGUGUUAACAAAAUAUAGCGUCUAUCAAAAGGUAGAAUUAACUCCCCCAACCAAGUUACUGGCACAUGGAAUUAUAAGCUACAAUGAGGAUAAAUGGGCAAAGCACAGAAAAAUCCUCAAUCCUGCUUUCCAUAUGGAGAAGUUAAAGGUAUUCUUCGUACAUACUCCCCCACCCCCGAAAAUAAAAAAGAAAAUAAUGAAGAUAUUAUUUGAGUAAUUAUAAUGUCUCACAGUUAAUAGUAAGGUUUUAGAUGAAAUAAUGACACGGUUUAGAUGAAGUUGGGUGAAGUACCAUAAUGUCUCAGUUCAGUUCUCAAUACAGACAAAUAUUAGGUGAUUUCUUUCCAUGUGUUCUAGCUUUGGUGGACAGUGUUACCUGGUACCUGUUGCUGGUGGGAGGUGACAGGUAUCCUGUAGAAUUAAUUGAGCUGAACGCAAGCUGCCAUAGAUACCACGAUUACUAAAAAAAGAAAAAAAUGAUAGAAUAGGGAGGACUUGGAUUCACAUUUUGUCUCUGUUCAAAAGCAAUAAGAUAUUCUCAUGCAAGGGUGGAGCUAGAGUGUUUUCAAGUUCCCUUUCGUUGAAAAUUACACUAUGUUCUUUUAUGGGUCAAAAUUUGAAAAUCACACUUUAUAUAUAAUGUCAAACUUAUUUUUAAGUAUAUGUGUUGACUGUUGAGUCCCUCGACUUCUUGGUAUGUUCAAUUUUUUAAUAUUUUGAUUCUUCUUAGUGAAAAUUUUGCUCUGCCACUAGAAAUACCCAGGUGUUUGGCGAACGAGGAAAAAAAUCCAGUCUUGCACAGGAUGUGAUGAAAAUAUAACUGAAGUAUUAACAAUUUAAGGUUUAAAUAGCAACUUAUUUCCACUUUUUUUAUUAUCAGAAAUUCAAGUUAUCUGUUGAAGUGGGUCAAAGUCCUACAUUGGUUGGCGAAUAGAUUGACAAUUUGCUUAUAUGGACUUGGGUAAUUCUCCCCCUUAUGAGCUAGCUUUUGAGAUUGUGUUAGACCCAGGUGCCCUAUCUUUACAUGCUAUCAGAGCCCAGUCCAUCCCAGUUUGGCUUCUGAUCCACGUGUCAGUUGGGCCUUGGACGUGAAGGGGGUGUUGAAGUGGGUGGAAGUCCCACAUUGGUUGGGGAAUGGACUAACAAUUUGCUUAUAUGGACCUAGUCAAUCAUUCUCUCAUGAGCUAACAUUUGAAAUUGAGUUAGGCCCAACUGUCAUCUUUUCAUUUUUCUAUUUUUCUUCCUCUCUAGCUCACGAAUAUAACAUACAAGAUGCAGUUGGCUUGCACUAAUUAUGAGUGGUUUAUAAAUGUGUAGAAUAUGCUUCCUGUAUUUCAUUUGAGCUGCAGUGAGAUGGUGAGCCAAUGGAAGGAGGCUGUCACAGCGAAAGGAUCGUGUGAACUCGAUAUAUGGCCUUACCUUGAGAGAUUGACUAGCAAUGUAAUUUCUCGCACAGCCUUUGGAAGCAACUAUGAAGAAGGUCGAAAGAUAUUUGAGCUUCAAAAAGAACAAGCUGAGCAUGUCACUGAAGUUUCUCGCACCUUAUAUAUUCCAGGAUGGAGGUAAUAAAAUGUCGUUUCCUGAGUUUAAAUUAUGUACUAUGAAUUUGUCGCUUAUCUAUUGCUAAAUGGUUCCUAGCUAAUGUUUUCUUUUUAUAGCUAAUCCAUCGUUAAACAGGAUUAGCGACAAAAAUUUACUGUUUAGUGACAUAAGUUGUCUGUUGCUAAAUUUCUGUUUUUUUUUUUUUUGUAGUGCCUGCAAUACCAAGUUAACAUAAAUUGAUGGAGUAAAAAUUAGUUAUGUAGUUGAACCGUUUGUUCUAUUCGUUCAAGUUUUGCUUCUCUAGAGAAAAUGAGAUGCUAAAAAUGGAAAUUGUUCGCAACACAUAUUGAAAGGGGUACUAAUCAAGUAUGAAUAUAACUUAAACCCUUGUUUACCAUGUCUAUGUCCAAAUAGUAUCAGGAAAAGAAAUUGAAAAGCGGAGCCACCUUAUGCCAAGUUCAAAUAGUCGAAUGACACCCUUUCGCCAGAAACUUACAAUGUUUAGCUAAAUCAUAAGAUCAAAAGUUUAUUAUUAUGUAUAUAUAGACUAUAUGUUGACUCUUCUUAUUUCUACAUGUCUUUUUUUUUUAUAAUAUGACACUCUUUAGUUCUGAUUCCGCCACUGUAUACAUGUUUUUGAUCGUUAACUGAGUGUAGGUUUCUGCCCACUAAGAGAAACAGAAGGAUGAAAGAGAUUGAGAAAGAAGUUCAAGCAAUGAUAAGGGGAAUCAUCGAUAAAAGAGUGAAGGCAAUGAAAGCAGGGGAGGCCAAUGCCGACGACUUAUUAGGCAUAUUGUUGGAAUCCAACUUUAAAGAAAUUGAACAACAUGGUAACAACGAUUUUGGCAUGACUAAGCGAGAUGUCAUCGAGGAGUGUAAAGUGUUCUAUAUUGCUGGGCAAGAGACCACCUCUGUAUUGCUUGUAUGGACUAUAAUUUUGUUGAGCAGGCAUCCAGACUGGCA
RNAcentral lists this long non-coding RNA (78324 nucleotides) under Capsicum annuum. RNAcentral's name for it is "long non-coding RNA (CANN_LNC012047)". Lineage: Eukaryota; Viridiplantae; Streptophyta; Magnoliopsida; Solanales; Solanaceae. The record is from RNAcentral.